AUAAAAUUUGAAGGUGCACCUUACCUUUACAGGUACGGAUGCAUCUGUUUGCCAACUGCACCCUUGAUUUAAAGGAGAAGGCCUAUUUUGAAUGGCUUUCUCAGAGGGAUGGGAGGAGCUUGUUUGGUAUGGAUAUAUAAGUAGUACAAUGCUAAUGAUAAAUAUAAAUCAUGAUGCAUCGAUUAAGAACCAGGGGAAAGGUUUGUAUGCUUCCCCUAUCGAUUAAGAACCAGGGGAAAGGUUUGUAUGCUUCCCCUAUAGCAUAGAAGUUCUAUUCUCCUCCUAUCAUCCAGCCGUUCAAGUUUGACCAAGAGAGCCCACUCACCAUUUGAUCUUAGAUCUGAGGUCUCAAAGUAUCACUUUUAGUUUUUUUUAUAUAGAUUGUAUGAAUAUGAAAUUUGGUACGUGCCAUCUUUUCAUUAGGGUGCACUUAUAAAAAAUAUUAAAAAUAUUUUUUCGAUAAAAUAUAAUGACCACAAUACCUUUUGAAAAACUUUUAGGGGUAUUUUGGUCAUUUUAUUAUAUUGAAAAUAUUUUUUUUAUAUUUUUCGCUAGUACGAGUUUAAUAGAGAAAUGGACGUCCAAAAUUUGAUGUCAAAAUAGUUUAUAGAAAAAAAUUAAAAAUAAAAUAGUGUAGAGACGUGACAUUGUGAUUGGGACAAUCUUAGCUCUCCAUUCAAAAUGGAGGGUUGGAUAAAAGGGAGGAUAGAACUUCUAUGCUACAGGGGAAGCAUAGAAAGCUUGCCGUAAGAACUGAUGUAAACACUCUUGUUAGUUGAAACCAAACCCUUGACUCGCCAUCAAUGAGAGGUUGGUUAUAUAAUAUUUUAAUGUGUAAUCUGUUACAUUUAACAGCAUAAUUUCCAAAACAAUAGUUAAAUAAUUUUAAUGACACUAUGGAAUUUUAUGUUAACAAAAGUUAAAUCCUUUUAAUGACACUAUGGAAUUUUAUGCUAUAUGCUACGUGGGGAAAUACUUUUUUUUUGUUAGGUAGAUUCUGUAGAGAAUUCUGUAUGUUAAUAGAUUCCAAUCGGUUUCUUAGUGUUAUUAUUCAUUUAUCUUCACUAACGGAUUCAUUUAUCUUCAAUGCAGUGGAAGCACAAUCGUAGGAAUUGGUGAUCCCGAACCCCCCCAAUUCAUCUAUGAUGAAGAGGAUUACCAGGACGUUUUUGUAUCCGGUAAGCUCAUCCGAUCAUGCCUUCACCCGCAUCUUCCGAUCAAUUUGGCUGCCUAGACUUCACCCACAUCUUCCUUAUCUUAAGUGCUCAAUGAUGCCCCUGUGUGUGUGCAGAAGCACGCUUUCUUACUCGGCCAGAGAAGCAUUGGUACACCAAGCCCAUUUCUUAUACAGACGAAUGCUAUCAAGAAGGCGGCGAACACAAAAGGAAGAACUGAAUCCCACGUUGAAAGAAUGCAACACAUCAUUCACUUGGAGACCUUGAACUUGAUAUAAAAGAUCCCUUUGCAUGUUAGACUUUAGCCACUUGAAUGAUUCUCCAGGGGCUAAAAUCCUUUAGCAUGUUUGGUUCAUGUCUUUGCUUAUAGAAAACCCUUUUAAAAGUCUCAAUUUUAGACUGGAGAACCCAAACACAUGCAUCUUUUUGUUAGACAUGCAAUUCAUUCGUGAAGUCUACCCAUCUUACUGUUCUCUCCCUUGUAGAUGAUGUAAGGAAUUAAACAAGCUCAAACUUAACCAAAUGUUCCUUUUUUUCGGUUUGCCGAGGCACAAGUAGAACCUGGGCACAUGUUGUAGACAACAUGACGAACCCACCAUCCAUUCCGAAUGACGAACGGUGAUGAUCAAAAUCUUUCCAUCAAGAAUUUCAAUUAAUCUGCACCGUACUUCAUUGGGAAGGAAAGGCGGACACAGCCCCUGGUGCAUGGCAUGCUUACUCUCCCAAAUUCCCACUGAGCCUAAGAAAACAGAAUUAAAAAGAUCAGGAGAGAGGGGAUAAAACAACUGCUGAGACACAGAUUUCCCAAACUUGCUCACUCUGGAAAACAGAAACAUCAGCACCAGCACCAACAAACAAUAUAAUUGUCUUUUCUUUUUCAUCAAACACACUUUCCCUCCCCCAUUCUGCUUUCUAAAGUGAUGGUGAGCUCAAGAAAGGCCUAGGAAAGCUAAACAGGUCCUUUCCGGCAAAAGGAUUCGUCCACUCUCUUGUGGCCUCCACCGAAGCACCUGCACUAGGGGGCCCCAUGCCCCCAACUUCCUGCACCCCUGAUGGCCCUAGGCCCACGCUUGCUCUGAACCCGGUCUUCGUCCAAUCUGACCAUGAUAUGUCAUCACAAAGUUGGCUCCCCCAAUCCGAUGAUGAGCGAGAUCCCCUAUAAAAAGGCCCUAACGAGCCCAGUGACUGGGGGAAAGAAGGUGAACCAGCCAUGCUCCAAUCUAUGCUUGUAUAGUCGCACUCACCCAUCGAUCCCAUGCUCCAAUCCCCAUUCGAGUCAGGGUUUGAGCUCCCUAGAGCUGAGUUCCACCCAUUGAACCCACCUUGUGAGCCCAAAUCAAGACCCACCUGAUCGGUAGGACCGAGCCCACUUGUCCCCCAACUGCUGGAUCCUAUUGGCUCAACCGGGCUAAGUGUGUACGGUUGCUGAUACUGAGCUUGGUGAAACGGUCCACUCACAGGUCCUUGGUUUGCACUCAACCCGUUCAAGCUCACGCCCGAGCUCUUCUCGAGCCCAACCAUACCACUUGGUGUCCAUGCAGUUGCAGCUGGUGCAAGCCCACCUGACUGAGCCAAGUGGGAUUUAGGGUUCGUAGGAUGGGGUCGUUGCAUCACGAUCACUCGCUCCUUCAAAGCUAAUGCCUGAGCCAAGUUGGUCUUACUAGGCUCUGUGGGCUGGAGGAUCUUGGAGGGGUUAGUGGCUAAAGAGUAUGGCAAAGGUGGCCCUGAGCUCACGCUAGGCCAUGCACCCAUGUUAUUACCAUUGGCGACUGGCUUCUUCUCGACUGAACCCACUUGAGCCCUAGACCACUCUUGUGGUGGCUUUACUUGAACCACCCUCCUCAUGGGUUGAGGCUGAGAGCUUCUAGCACUAGGAUCAGGCAAUAUUGUUUUGGUAUAGUUGAAAUCUACCCGCUCAUCUCGUCUUUGAAUUGACACCGCUGGCACCCUAGCUUGUUGGCUUCUUGACUGGCUUACAGCAGGUUGCACAUGCCCUUGACCUGCUUGCUUUGAGGACUCCAUGGUGGACUCCGGCUUUUGCGGAGGCAUGGGUUCAAGUUGAGGUGUCGGCUUUUGCACCCUAAGUGUCUCAGCUGCCUUGUCAAGAUCACCUUCACAAGCCACAACAGCUCGCUCUACCUCUUGCCUUGAGCACCCGAACCUCGUUUCCAUAUCGGACAGUCGUGCUAGCUCUUCCGAUAUAUCAAUUUUUAAGCGAGACCCAUCUGCCUUUGUGGCCUCUUGACUCUCAACUUCACUACUACCCUCGAAGAGCCAAGCAACUGACUCCUCAACCCUCCCCUCAUUUAGGAUGAGGGCCAUGGUAGCUCGCUCGUGAGAGAAGCCCAUGGCCACAAGCUGCUGAGACAGGGCCUCGAGCCUCCUUGACAUCAGGUAGCCAGUGCACCUCUCAUGCAACUCUUGUGCCCUUCGUUCUCUCUGCCUUUGGUGCUUGCGCUCAUUCUUUUGCCUUAUUUUCUCUCUCUUCUCAUUCGAUGAACCAGGUGGUGCAUCAGGCCUAGAGGGUGGACCAUUGGGCUUGUUGCUGUUAUCCUUUUGGUGGUCCUCUGAUUCACCAGAGCAGCUGCUUGUCGAAUGGUCUUCAUACUCCGCUCCCGUGCACAGAGAGCUGGUGCCUGAGUGAUCGUCAGGGUCUUCAAUGGUUCGGAAUCGGGGGUUGUGCAUGGAGGAGUUGUGUGUCUGUGGAGGGGAAGAGGGGGAUUCAAGGGUAUGGAAGGUCCCGGAGAGGGGAUUGUACGCAUUGGAAUGGGGGCCUACACCGCCCACAGCGGUGCUGGGGGGAACUGGCUUGGGCAAGGCCUUGUGCUCCUUGGCUACCUUUGUGGACGGCUUGUCCUUGCUCUUCGAUCUUGAAGCUGGAGACAUGGCUGGAUGAACACUGAGUUUUCAAAUUUCAAGUUAUCUGUGCCUGCUGCAAAUAUAAAGGAGUUUGUUAGAGAACCUAUGAAGUGUACUGCACACUUGUGCAUGUGUAUAUGUAUGAGAGAGAGAGAGAGAGAAUGAGAGAGAGAUUAUCCUCGUACAAUCCCUAUGGGAAUUUCAAGAUUAUGCUCAUACAAUCCCUAUGGGAAUUUCAUGAGCAAGAAAGAGAGGUACUAUGUUAAUGCUCACACAAUCACUAUGGGGAUCUGAUACUUGAGGUGUAUUUACUAUGCCAUGCAAUAUCUAUGGAAAUCUAGAUCUGGAAGGGUGCAGAGUGAGGGUAAUGUUUAGAAACCCUAACUGAAGAAUGUGGGUGUCAGUGUGCCUAUUCAGUAGAGUGGCAUGCUUGAAAGCUCGAUGGAGGUCUUCCAAUGGAUAAGCAAUGAAAGAGCAAAAACUCUCUGCCUUGUACGUGUUGAAAAGAUAUUACCAGUUCCAAUACAUCAGGAUCAAACUUCAACACCCAUGGACUAACAUUCAAUUUUCUGACCAUUUGGCCAAUAAAUGGCUUAUAUAAUUCCUCCACCAAUUUAAACACGGACAAUCAACUAUUAAUACCCUGUGAUCCUCAACAAGUGUUCAUUUCAUAUAUAAUACCAACAGGCAAUUAAAUCAAGGGCAAAGCAAUCCCACCCAGAUUCCAAGCCCCCACAACAAUUGAGUAAUUAAUUACCUCAUCAACCUCUUUUGAUUUAGUCUCACUUAGCAAAAGAAAAUAGCAUCCACUUCUUACCAAGUGCGCUGUCAAAAAUAAAUAAAGUAGUUCAUCCACUUCUUACCAAGUGCGCUGUCAAAAAUAAAUACGGUAGUUCCCUCCCAUUCAUGGUUGGACUCUCCUUCCAAAUCCUCAAGCCUUCAGGCUGCCUUCCUUUCUCCAUCACAAUCUCAUUUCGAUCACAACACAGUUCAAACCAUCUCAUAUAUAGCUUUACAGGCCACACCAUUGCAAAAAACACCAAUCAGGCCUCCAGAUUCACGCGAUUGCUCAAAUCUCUUCUUGCAUGACAUGUAGCAUUUUCCCCAAAUUUGAACUAGAUGGACAAGGUCCAACACAAUCAUUUUACUGCUAUUUUAACCAGAUUCAAGCAUCAUGGUGGAGUCCAUGUAAAUCCUUCUAGAAAGCUUUCGCCAUGGAGGAUAUCCAUCACUCCACUGCUCAGUCAUGGUGGUUUUGGGGUGGAAACCUGAAACCAUAUAUGUGAAUCAUAUAUUUGAGGUAAAAGGAACAUGAGAUCACCUUCUACUUCAUUGUAGUAUCCAACAGCAAUCCACUCUAUUGUUCAAGAGGAUCUGGUGUCCUAUGGAUAAUGUAUAGUGCCAUGGCUAUCACCCAAUCUAGCAAACCAAGCUUGGCUUCGCAUUGGUCUUUCUUAUCCUUUAAAAGGCAAGCUCCCAAGCCAUGGUCUAGGGUACAAUCACAUAGAGGCAAUGAUAUUAUUAUUUAAGGCUAUAGCCGGAAGGCGCACCAAGUAUAAGAUAGUAUACAAGAAUCCACCAUAGCUUGAGCCGCAAUGCAAUUGAAUGUAAAAAAGCCGCAGUGCAAAUGAAUGUGAAAAAGUUUCACGAGUGAUUGAUUUACUAAUUGACAACAAAGCAAACACCUUCACUAGAUCCCACUUCUGAAAACUUCACAUUUGUCGGAUGCCUUUUAAAUAAUCUGAGUCCGAUAGAUGCAGAUCACGGUUGCUCAUACUUGAUUCCUUUUUUCUAGGUCCACUGGGUGUCUGUUAUCCCAUGACAGUAGAUGACGCAAGAGCUAGAGUGCUUGUUAGUAGUAGGCUUAGGCAUUGAUCCUUGAAUUCCGUUACCACUUUCAAGACCUAAUAUGAUUCUUCAGAAAUUAACAUGAUAAAGCACUCCAAGGGAAGGCUCCUUGGAAUGUGGCAGAAAAGAUUGAGGACUUUCAGUGAUUAUAUCAUGCACCUUGACUCUCCUCAUACCACAUGAUGGUAACAAGAUGGCCGACUCACUUCGUAAGGUGUGAGGAGGUGGACUUGAUGUAUACUUCAGUUUUAAAACUCUCAGAUGUUAACUCGAUGUAUUCCAAUUUUUAUUUCUAGUAUUUGGGGUUUCAUUAAAAAAAUGCUUCUCGAGACAUAUAAUUAUGUAGAAAGGACAAAACUACAAAAGGGACUGGAUGUCCCUGCCAAGUGCCCCUUAAGAACAUAUUCAUACAUUUGCUUCACAAAGGGAAAAUGCCAAGAAGGCCACACACAAUAUGGGAAAAAUACACUAUCCACCAGACCUCCACAGUCCAAGUCAGAAGAGAAGAGAAAUUUACUACCAAAAACCAAUGCAGCUACAGUAAUGAAUGAUGUGAGAGUCUCUUUUAUUUUUAUUUUUAUUUUUGGAAUAGUUGACUGUUUUUUUUUUUUGAUGAUUAAAGUGAUAACAUAAUGUUAGAGUUGACAAUUAAAGUGAAAAGAGAAUGUUAAAGAGUUAAAUUAACACUACAAUACUAUAACCACGGAUGGAAGGGAAAUCCCCAAUAGAAAUCAAGACAGUUGAUGCAUCUUCUCAGAACGACAGAAACAUCAACAAAUACACAAGGAGUAAAAGGAAACAGUAAAGGUAUCUUGAAAAUGGAUGGCAGGAGUUAACAGAAGUUCAAGCAAUCCCCAUGAAGGAAAGGAAAACUCAGUUAUUCUGCUUUAAAACACAGAGAUGAACAUAAGGCUCUCUUGAGAAGUGUUUUCAGAGAAAAUUGAACACUUAUAUAAAGCCAACAUAUUACCAAUAUGUUUAGUUAACAACCAAGUAAAAAAAAACACAUUAUAUAGAGAAUGUCUACCAUUAUUCAAUGGACUAAGAAAACUGUAGUUCAUUAAGGUCCCCAGUCCAAUGAAUUGAUAGAAAGCGUUAGACAAAGUGACAGAUAAUCAGGGUCAGGUACUAUUCUAGCAGAUCCUCCUUUCUCUCCAUCACCACUUAUCAGUUAAUCGGAUGGUGAUGAUCCAAACUGAACAUAGUUUUCAUAAUCCAAUGGAGUAAAAUGUACUUUACCUUUACCAGUAAUCACUUAUAUGAAGUAACUGCUAGCCCAAAUAUAUUGGCACAAACCAGGAAACCAUCUUCGCACCAAAUAGAACUGGAUUCAGCACCAAUGUAAUGUACUCAUGUAUUGUUGACCAAAACAUUUUCAGAAAAAAAAAAAAAGGACAGAUUUUGACAACUAAAAAAUUGUGCAGAUUGAUGGAAAAAACCCAUGACAUGUUCGAAGGGAAAUAAAAAGACAAACCAACAGAAACCAAAAAUGUGUCACAGACUACAGGUAACAUUAAAUAGUAACCAUGUCCUUCGUGGGGUAUAGAAAUGGAUAAAAUUCACUGAUGACCUAGAACUUGAUCAUCUUGGUCGCUUAUUGCCCGCUACAAAACAAUACAGGACUCUUAUCUCAUUACAUGAAAUAUAGCAUCAAAGUAAAUUUAAGCAAUAACCAGAGUCAAAACAUAGGUCAGAUGCCAGUGAAGGAGACUUGACCAAGCCCAUCCAAAUACGGGCAUAAUGUUCUCCAAGAUAUUAUUAACAUCCUUUAAAAUCUUAAACUGAAGUUUCAAUUUUAUCAAUAGAUGCAAAAUUUAAGAAUGCAUAAAUUAAAAAGACGGGCUCAAAAAUCUCAAAUUUGAAAUAAAUCUGUGAUUAUAAAAGGUGAUGGAAUUGGAGACAUAUUGCGCAUCAUUUAAUACAAAGAAUGCCGCAUCAUGAUAACAAAUACAAAUGGAAUGGAAACAAUGAUCUUUAAACAAGAUUUAUCUAGCAUAAUGCAAUAACAAGUUACUAACAAGGAUUCACUAGCUUCCAUUAAACUGAAUCACAUCAAGAUAUCUCACUAUUUCUUGUUUCAGAUGGAUCUCAAAAUCAUAGGAGUCUAAUCUGAAUGUGUAACCUACGGCACAGCUGAAUUGUAAGUUAAUAACGCAGAGAGGUAUCAAUUACUCAUUGAAAGCCUAAAUUUACACUCAAUUUAAACAGAAAACAAACAAUUACAACUAUAGAAGCAGUUUAUCUGUAUAUUCAGUUUGAAAUGAUAAAUUAUCUGUGAAAAUAUUCACACUACUACCCUCUGCAUCUGCACGUUUUAAGCAAAUUCCAUCUUUCUUUUGGACUCCUAACACUAUAUGAGUGAAAUUUUCCAAAUUUCCAGAAAAUAAUGCCAUCAUUCAAUCAACUAACUUCCCUUCACAUCAUAAAAUAGCGCAAUGCAAGAGUAAUUCUCCAAAUGGCACCUAAAACCAACAAAACUAGAUCUCAUUCAAUGCAUCCCACACCCUCCCAAAACCAGUCUCAAUAAACCAACAAAACAUACAGGCAUCCACAAGAAUCACACAUUCCCCCGAUACGAUCAUUUUGGUAACCCUUAUAAACGCUCAUAACAAAUAAAUAUGCAAUCCUAAAUCAAAACCCCAAAAAACAACCCUAGAAAACUCUAAAAGAAACCUCGGCAAACCCCUGAAGAAUUGUUCUUCUAGUAUUGAUAGAUCAAGAUUCAUAAAAAACCCUAGGACGGAUCAGUGGGCGCAUAGAAAGACAAAGCACGGUAAACACCAAGAGGGCAUCGAAACCCUAAUCAAACGGGGAACAAGAAAGCUUCGAAGGAGAAAGGGACAUUGAAACAGAUCUGACAUGGCCAUGGAAGAAGGGACAACUGACCUGUUUGUUGAGAGACGACGAUCUUUUUAGGGUUUCCUCGAUGGCGAUCCUAAACGAAGGGCUUUAAUUUGCAGAAAAGAUUAAAAAUCGAUGAAUGCGUACCGUAUAUAUAUGCCCCCUUUCUCUCCUUUCCUUACAUAUGAUGCGCCACGCCUGUCUCUUUCUCUCUCUAUAUCUACGCACUUUCUCUCUCUACGUGUUCCUCUCCCACUUCUUUCCCUCUCUCCUUUGCACUAUCUUCGUUUUCUCUCGCUAGGCGUGACAUUGGGUUAUUCAGAAUCGGAUUUAAGAGAUACUUGAGGUCCGAUUAUUUAAAUAUAAAUAAUAAAGGUCUUCUGAGUUCAAGAGCCCUUUUCCUACGUUGCUAUUAAGACCAAAGUGGAAAAACUUCGUAAUCCGGAUUGGAACUCGUCGAUUUAAACUAAAAAUAUAUUGAAAAGAUUCGGAUUGGGUAAAAUAUAAGGAGUUGGCCAGUUCCGGCUUAUAUGUACCGAUUCUUUGAUAAGUUCCUGACAGACUUGGUUGAUUCUGUCAUAGAAUUGAUAUGAAUUGACUCCGUUUUUUUUUUUAUUAAUUAUUGAAUUGGGAGUUUCUUGUCGGUUCUAGCCAGUUUUGGUCGUUUCUUUUAUAGAAAGUUCUGUCAGAUAACCGGUCAAAUUGGUCCUAUAUAAUUUUUUAAAACAAAAAUGUAUCGCUCCUCUACCGAACCCCAUACUUAUUUAUCUAUAGACCUUCAUCUUUGAAUUUCUAAAAAUACAUGCUCUCUUUAAGUUAAGCCAAUCUAUCACCUCUCUCCUACAUAAAUAUCUUUUAAUAAACAAUAUACUUUAGAACAUCUAUUUUCCUUUUCUCUCUUUCUAAAUAAAGCAUAUAAUACUUUUCAUUAUCUCUAGACUAUUGUUCGCAAAAUCGCCCGAUCUAAUCGAUAACCAUCCGGUUAGAUCGGAAACGGUGAGUGGCUGGCUCCAGUUUGGGCGGUUAGGGUGAACAACCAAUAUUUAAAAAAAGUAAAAUUCAAAAAAAUUUAUAUAAAUUCUCAAAAAUAAGGAAUUUGAUUUAUAAUGAUUUUUUUAAUAUUCUUUACAUUAUGGUAAGGAUUAAAAUUUAUUUUGGUCAUUAAUGCUCACUUUUAUAUUUUUCCAAUCUUUUUUAGAAAACUUUAAAAAUAACCAUUGGAAAAUAUAAAAUAACUUAAAAUUUAUUUUUUCCAUUAAUUUUCAACUUCAUUUGAAUGUGCUUUGUUUUAACCAUUUUUUUUAUGUUUUUCAUAUUUUAGUAGAUUUUUUUUUUUUUCAAUAUUUUUUUGACCAUCCGGGACUUGUCCAGUUAAAGCGGUUAAAUGUUUAGUAAUGUUAUGCGUAUAUUAUUAAAUGUUUAAUAAUAAAACUUGCCUUCUAUUUAUCUACACACAGACCCGACCCAACCGAACAAUUCGGGUCCCUAUCCAACUGGACCCAAUUGGAUCAGAUCCUGGUACGCGUUCAAUCGAGUGUCGACCCAUCCAAUUUAGACCCCUACCUUAGAAUCAGCAGUGUUUCAACCAAGGAACCCUGUAACCAAACAGUUCAUAACAUUGCUCUUAUCAAUUAUUUUAUAAUGUGACAUUUUUUAUUCACGCAACAAGUGUCCUUUUAACUUCGUUUUUAAUUGUCAUUUGCCCUCUUGGUUUGGGUAGUAUCAUAAAAUUUUUACAUGUAUUUAGUUUCUUUUAAAAAUUUUUUUUAUUAAGAACGUUUUCUCUUGAGAUGUAAAUCCAAUUUACACAUAACUAUUAUUUCAUUAUAUAUAUAUAUAGAGAGAGAGAAGAUCCUGUCAGCCCAACUGCUACAGUAAACACCAACAGCCCAGAUCGAGCCUGGACCGAUCUGAUGAUCCCGAAUGUCUGGUAGUGUAUGAAUUUUAAUAUUUUUUUUUUAUAAAUCAGAUUGAUUUGAAAUUUGGAGCGUGCGUACAUAAAAAAUAGAUGAAUCUUUGAAAAAUAUAAAACAAAUAUUUUAUAUGAAAAAAACUUACCAAAAUACCUUUGUAAAGUUUUGGAGGUAUUUUGGUCAAUUUAUUUUUUAAGGAUUAUUGUUUUUUUAUUUUUAUUAGGUGCGUCUUGAUGAGAAGAAUAUACACCUAGAUUUUCAAGUGAUUUGAAUUUAUCAAAAAAAAAAUUAAAAUUCAAACACGAAAAGAAGUCGCGACCGUCAAAUCGACCCAGAUUCAAUCUGAGCCAUUGACGUUUACUGUAGCGAUCAGCUAGUGGACGUACAAAUUCCACUCUCAUAUAUAUAUAUAUAAAAGAAAAUGCUCGAGUACGCCCAUUUGAGUAUAGGUCUGGGGUACACCCCAUGGUGUAGAUUUAAAGAGGUGAAAUGGAUGGUUGAGAGAGCGUCCCAUGGCAUUCAAAAAAAAAAAAAAUUUCCUAACUGACUGUCAAAAAGGUACGCCUAUGGGCACUGACAAAAGGGUACACCUAUGGCCUAUCGCUUCGUUCUCUCUCUAUCUUUGUUGAUGAGCCAGGGCUCUCUCUCUCUAUCUUUCCUGAUGAACCAGGGCUUCGCUAAUGAACCAAGACUCUCUCUCUCUCUAUCUGUGCUGAUGGACCAGGGCUCUCUCUCUCUAUCCUCUGAUGAACCAUGGCUCUCUCUCUGUAUCUUCACUGAUGAACCAGAGCUCUCUCUCUCUAUUCUCGCUGAUGAACUAGGGCUCUCUCUCUCUAUCUUCACUGAUGAACCAGGGCUCUUUUUCUCUCUCUAACUUGGCUGAAGCACCGGGGCUCUCUCUCUGUUUUUGCUGGUGAACCAGGGCUCUCUCUCUGUUUUCAGCAGCCCCGUUAUCAAUCUCUCUCUAAUUCAAAACAUAGGGAAGCUAUCUCUCUACAGAUGACCAUUUUCCUACCUCCUCGCAUCCUCUCUCUCUCUCUCUCACGCCCAUUUGCGCAACGCCCUCUCAGGCAUCCUCUCUCUCUCACGUGAAUGCCACGGGUGGAGUGGCUCCUCCUCGCAUCCUCUCUCUCACGCCAUUUUCCAUAGAUGCAGUCCUCUCACUAUCUACAGAAGACCAUUCCACAAGUACAUUUUCCACCUCUGUUUUAGCCAUUUAGGAUUCGGAGAGGACCCAUUAAACAUUUCACAGUUUAGGAUAACCAAUUUUUCUGGUUUUUUUUUGUUGAGUUUCUCUCUGAAGAGUAGGAGUACCAAAUUUUUUUGGUUUUUUUCGUUGAGUUUUUCUAUCCAAUGUUGAUUGGGGUGGUAGCAUGAAGACCAUUUUAACAGUCUUGUGCACGAAUUCUGCCCUGUGUUAAAGACACACUAGUUCAAUAUGUGGUUUUAAUUAGAGAACUCAUUGAUUCAUGGCUUCUUGGUAGUGUAGUAACUCUGGGUUGCCACGACCUCUAUUAGGAUGAGGCAAAAUCCUAAAGUAGGGUUUCUCCUUUUACUGUAUUUUUAUUUCCAUGGUUCCACUUAUUGACUGGUUUAAUUAUUUUGCUUGUGUAGAUGAAGUCAAUAAAUAUUUUCAUAUUUAGGUUUGUAUUUGCAAUUUGUCAUGAUCUUUGCAUUUUUAAUAUACUCUGUUCAUUGAGAUAUUUGCAAUAUGUUAAGAUGUGCUUGAAGUACAUAGUUAUUUAGUCAUUCACAAUGUGAUUCUAAUGCAAUUGUUGUAGGCCAUACCAAUGUCAUCUCAUUCUACAAGUAAUCUAGGAUAUACAACUCGACAAUGCCCUAAAUGUAGUAUAGAUUGUGCUACGAAAUCAUCGACAAGCCAAAAAAAACCCAGUAGGAUGUACUAUAAGUGUCCAUUAUGUAGUUUCUUCCAAUGGCAUGAUGAAUAUAUUACCGCCGUGUAAAAUGUCAAUAUAAGGCAUCGCAAUACACAACAGUGGAAUCCAAUGAAUGAAUUAGAAGAACGUGUAUUGGUCAAACAAGAAAGAAGUGUUGAUCAUAAUGCGAUAAUCAGUACUAUAGGGUGUUUGCAAGAAUUCUUACUUGGUGCCUUUGGGUGUUUGCAAUAAUUUUUAUAUUUUUUGUGUAUAAUAAAUAUGUGCUUGCUUGUGCUCAUUUUUUAAAAUUUUGUAGUUUUUAUUGCGAAACAUGUGAUAAUUUUUUGAUAUUACCUUUUUACUAAGGUAAUUAUUCCUAUUGUAGAAUUCAAGUCGUCUUAAAUGCUUUGACUUUUUCAAUAUCCAUACAAGUCUCUCUCUCUUGUGUUAGAAUUUUCUUGUUGGGCAAGAACCUGAAAGGUAUGCAUGUAAUACUUUUGACUUCAUGGUGAACAAGUCUCUCUCUCUUAGUGUUGAGUUUCCUUUCUUUGAAAACAUAAUAAUGAAACUAAUAACACGAGGAAGUGUAAAUUCCUAAUUUGAACUACAUUUUCUAACAGGGAUUGCAGGUUGAAUGUUUAAGGUUCAUGUAUCGUAUAGACCUUGCCAAUUAUAAACUAUUUGGCUUGUAAUUUUGGAAGAAUGCAAGUCUCAACAAGGCCAUCCAAAUAAAGAUAAAAAGGUAUGUAAUAUCCAAAUUGGUUAAAAAUAAUUUACAUUUAAUCUUUAUGUAUUUUUCAGUCCAUAAGCUCCUAAUUCAACAUGGGUCGUUCUAUAGCCUUUUGGUUAAAAAAAGUUACUCCCACAAAUGAAUAUAAUAAGUGUGUGUGUAGCAUGCUCUAUCAAGAUCAUUGUACUUAUACUCCGCCAAGCAAAAAACCUUGUAUGAAAUAAAUGACUUUGAUUAUAAUAUGUUACUUAUCAAAAGUAACCAGGCUGGGAUGCAAAUGCUGAAGUGAAUAUUUUGAAACGAUAAAAUAGAACAAAUUGAUUGUAAACCAAAAUCCAUGCAUAUUAACAAACAACCCUCUGACUGUUUUGAAACCUCCCGUAGCGUAAAAAACUCCAAGAAAUAAAAGCAAUAAAAGAAUAAAAAUAGAAGGAAAAAAAGAAAAAGAAAAAAACCAUCAAAGAAGAAAGACAAAAAGUCAAACCUAUGAGGACAAACUUAGAAAUACCUCCCUGCUGCCACAACACAAAUCCACAGGGAUUUACAUAAGUCCAAAACAAAUCCAGUCAAAAUAACCAGCCCCCAAACAAUAACUGAUAAAAUGCUGCAGCACAAUGUGCAAAAGCAAUCCAGAAAUCUCAAGGAGCAUCAAACAAUACCAUUUUGUGCCCCCAUUAUUGCAUCCACUAAGAGCAUCACAUAGAACCUAAUGGCAAACAAUUUCAACAAGAACUGAGCAAAUACUCAUAAAAGCAAGCCUCCCAAAACAAACCGAACCAUACCAAGGAGAAAUUACAGAAAGUCCAUUUAAAAUGUCGAUUGCAUUGUACAAAAGAUCCUGCCACAAUCUACUGCAUCAAUCCAAAAACAGAAAUUCUUUUCCAUAAACCCAUUGUUUAGGGUGCUGAGUCCGGCACCAUAAGUUACAAAUUUGCAUACCCUUCACCAAUCAAAAGAAAGAACAAAUUCUCAAUGAAACAUCAAUUCAUCAACGAAUUGCAUAAUUGUUCGCACACGCUUGCACACACAUAUAUAUUAUAUAAAGUUCAUUGUAUAUACAAGCAAUUGGCCCUAAACACACAUUCACUAAUACUUAGAAAUAAUCAUCGCUUUACAAGUCCUGAAAAAACAAGCUCAAUGCUUGCUUGAUUUAGUGAGCUGUACUUAUAUGUUGUAUAGAUAUUUUCUACUCCAAAGUAGCAUGGAAACCCCUAAAACAAGAAAAACAAUGAAAUCAGUUGUGAAUAGGAAAAGAACAAAGUGAAAAUUUUUUUAAAAAUUAACAUGGAUAAAUGAAUGAGGCCAUGCUAUUGUUCGCUAGAUCCGGAAUGAUUGUCAGAUUAAUAUAGCCUAAUAUCAAAUUUUAGGAGAUACUCACUACCCAAGUGAAGCAAGCAUAUAUUUCCUUGGCGGCGAUGCCUCAGUAAUACAUAGUCUAGUUAAAGGGUACAAUUCCUGCACUAGAUCAACAAGUGUUUGUUACCUAAUUGCUACAAACUCAUUAACCAUGCCAUCCACUAUGAAAAAAACUAUACUCUGGUGAUGAUAUGAACAGCCACCAAAUUGAUGCAAUUUCAUAUAUAAGGAAUGCUAUCACAAAAGAAAUAAGUGAUUGCAACAAAAGAAAUGCAAUCUGUUGAGAGAAUCAUCUAAUACAAUAUUCUUCCAAAUUUUAAAUAGGCUUAAUUCCACCAAGAAAUUAAAAUAUAAAAUAAAAAAAGAUACGCUUAAAUUGAUAAAUAGGUUUACUGAUUAGAAACCCAUUGCUUAGGGUGUUGAGUAUAUCUCAAACACACAAGCAGGAAAAUUUGAAUGCAAUAAAAUUUCUUACAAUGCAAAUUCAUUGCAACAAAUACUUGUUUACUAAUUACAAUGCAAAGGACUAAAAUUUCUUACCAUUGCUCAUCGUGUUCCACAUUCUCACUUGACCCAUCCGUGCAUCUUAUAUUGACAUUUAACCUAAACGAAGGAAACCCAUUUCAAAUAUUUUUAAUUAAGGAAUUCAUAUUAUCAUCACAAAAAGUAUGAAAGAUGGAGCAAUAGUUCAUUCAUGCUUUAAACGUGCAACAGUUGUACAAUUCCUUCUGUCAUGUCCACUUCCUUUGCAAACUGCGCACUUUUGGGUAACUUCAUUCUCUUUCGCUUUUACUUUCGCUUUCUCUGCCUCUAUCUCAGCCCGGUGUACAUAUCUAUCAUUAGCUGGUUUCCCCUUUGUUAGUGCCUGGGAGGGGCUCACGGAUGUUAUGGCAUGCAUGUCUUCCAACCUCAGCGUGGUUGUUACUGUCGGCAUUCAUAUUCUCAGUACGACUGCUGCAAGGGGUCUUAAUAGCACUAGGUGGUAAUACCACACGCCCAAACUUGUAUUUAUCCUUUGCAACUGUACUUGCUAUCUCAGACAUUAUAAAUGCAUGAACUUCUACACUUUCUAAAGCACGCUCUGCUGGUACUCUAGUGGCUUGACAAACCUCAUUAAAACGAAUGGAACGGGAUAGAUCAGAAGUACCUUGAAUUUGUUUCCCUUUCGCAUCAAGUACAACACCUUGCAUCACAUUUUUCAUCCACCUCUUCAUUAUGUAAUGCGAUGGGAUUGCAAAAAUAUUUCUCACCAUCAACACCCUAAUCCCAUGCCUACAAAUGAUGUCUAGCCUCUCAUAUAUGUGGCAGGUACAAGAAAAAGUUUGUUCGUGACUAUUGAAUUCUAUAAUGCAUGCCCAUGGUCCAGUUCCACGUUUUGAUACCUUGAAGGUUGUAACAAUGUCAUUCCCUUCAAUAAUUAAUUGACGCAUUCUGCAACUUCAUAACUUUGUGUAUAUAUCUUCGAAGUGUGAGCCUCGAUGUCCCAUGUGGUCCUCAAAGAAGGCGUAGAUAUGAUGUUAUUUAAGUCAUUUUCUCUUCUUAAGAAGUUUUUUAUUAUGCAAUUUUAGAGUAGUUUCCAACAAUGUGCACAAGCUUGUAUUGAAAGUUAGAUAAUUUUUGAAGUGCUUAUCAUUUCUUCACUUCUCUGAGUCGAUGACAUACCGGUUGUGAAUGAAUCUGCCACAUAUGCAUCAAUCCACUGCUCUCGACAUCUGUAAAAUCUAUUGAGCCAUUCAUUCUGUUGAAGAUCAUAUUUCUCAAUUAGAGAUACCCAUACUGACUCAAAUUCUUCCUUAGUUUCAUUCAUUAUACAGUUCCUGAAGCGGUCUAGAAAAGAUGGACUCCUUCGCAAGAUAUGGCACAAUUUUUCUUUGACCUUUGAAAGUAUGUGCCACUUACAAUAAUGAUAUCUGGUUUUAUUCAUAACUUGUCUCACUACAGCGGUCAUUGUAGGAUCCUGAUCGGUGAUAAUGACUCCCGGUAGAUGUCUUCCCAUUGCCUCAAGCCAAUUUUCAAAUACCCCUACAAAGGACUCCACAUUCUCAUCAAAUAUGAGUGCAAACAAAAAAUGUUGCGCUAAGGUGGUGAUUCACUCCAAGUAUGAGAGAAAAGGGCAUGCAAAAGAGUUUGUCUUAUAUGUCGUAUCAAAAGUGACCAGAUCCAAGAAGUGGUUGUAGAACACCCUUGACAUGACAUCUACCCAUAAUAGGCUGACAAUAUGAUUUUCUUCAUCAAAUUUCACCUUACAGAAAAAAGAUCGAUUCGAUCUUUUCAUAUCGAUUAACCAUUCCAUAGCAUGGUUCCCAUCUUCCCCUUUGAAUUUUCAUCUCUUAUUUCCUAAUUGGUUUUUGAUAUCUUUUUGUGAGCAACGCAUAUUAUCAAUCCCUCCAGCCUGCUCUAAAAAGAUAUCAUAGAUAUUCCAACACUUUACCAAAGCAAAGCUCAUGAAGUUUAUCAUUGUCUUUGUCGCAUCCGAUAUUGUUCGAUGCGAUCAGAUGAGUCGAGCUUUCCUUGGAGAUACAAGGUCGUGAUUGUGAUCCUUAGCGAACUUUGUGACAUCACACUCAUUGUUGGCAUUUAUGCUUACACACAUCUUCGCUGCAUAUCCACACCUUGACUGAGGGAUUUUUUUGUAGGUAACACUUCUUUCACCCUACGGAAUCCUUCCUUGGGACAUAUAAAUUCCCAGCAAUUCUCUUUCCGUCCUUAUUAUUGUGAGAACUUCCCUUUCUGACACCAAACCCAUGCACCAAUGCAAAAGCCUAGUAAAACUCAAAUGCAUUAUUUUUAGAACCAAAUUUCAUUCCUAUGUAUGGUUCCUCUAUUUCUGCCCCCUUGGAUGACAACGCAUGUUCCCUGUUUUCAGGAUUUGUGAACUUAUUGGGGGGUGGGUUGCAACCCACGGAUCUUGCUCCAUGGGCUCUAUAGUAUCCCCCAUGUUAUCAUCCUUUGACCAUGUGGGGGAUGCCACACUUUCUGAAAUGGUGAGGUCCAUCUCAAGUACUAAAAUUACCCAUUUUAUUUGUCAAUUAAUGACUUCAACACUUCACAACUAGAGAAUUAGUUGUGCCCAUGAAAUUGCAAAGAUAUGGUUAAUAGCAUUAGUCAAUGCAAAAGUGUUGGCAAGAUUAGCCUCAAUCGAGGAGGUACAACAUUCCUAGAAGUUAGAAGUGGUGAACCCAGACACAACUUGAGGCUUUCUUAAAUCCCUUAAGCAAGUUAACAUGUUCAUCUGACAGAGUAAAAUAAAUAGGAUUUCAAGAAGACGUAAAGGAUAGCCAAGUAAUAAGGAGGCCAAUCUCGCUAGGUGCAGUCAUUUAAAAUUUGGCAGAUUACAGGUCCACAACUAUCGUGUUGCUCACUUGAUACUGGAUAUUGAAGUUAAGAGACUUAUCAAAAUAACAAAAAUAAACAAUCUAGACAUGAGGCUAUAGAGAGCCUACCAUAAGGCUUCCAAAGGCAUGAGGUUGGAGCUUCCAUUUCAGGUUCACAAAAGUGAUUAUCAAAGCUAGAAAACCCAAUUUGAAAUCUGACAUACUAGAAUGUUUGGGAUCUUCUUUAUGAAAAAUAAAUGGUCUCUUUUGUAUACUUUUCCAUAUUAUAAUCCAUAUGUGAACAUGGAAAUCAUAUAGUAACAGGAGCCAUCACCAUCGUUCAAUAAAUUGGACAGUGAUGGAGGGAGACUGGGUCUUAAUGGCGAUAACCCUUGCGAUCAUAUUGUUGCGAUGAUCACAUGGAUCAUAGUAUAAUUCUCUGUUUGUCCUAAAGAAUUAUUGACCUAAAGGAUUUUGAACGACACAAAUUAGGCGAAUUAAGGAGAUAGAGAGACAAUAGGGAGAGAAAAUACCUGAAAUUUCAAAAAAACAAAAGAAUUGAGGACCAAUUUUAGAAUAAGAGAGAGAGUAAUCAUAGUGGGCAAGACAAUCGUGAGCAAGUGGAGAGAAAGGGGAAACUAUUAACUAUUAAGUAACUUAAUAAAAGAGUGUGAAGCAUGAGAGCUUAAAUAUUUGGGAAUGAGGAGAAAGGAAACCCUUGCAGGUUAGAGAGAGAAAGUGGAAAAACAAAUAUCAAUUAUCAAAAAAAUAAGAAUGAAAACAAUUGAAUCAACACAUUCAUUAAUAACCUAUAAAUAUUAUUCAGAAAUGAGAAAAUGAUUUAUACAUGCUUUAUUAUUUCUCAUUCAUGGUAAAAUACAAACCCCCCCCCCGAAAAAGAAUUACAUAUGUUUAACACAAGGCAGAAUUCAUGCACAAGACUCUGUUAAAAAUGGCCUUGAUGCUACCACCCCAAUCAACAUUGAAUAGAAAAACUCAACAAAAAAAAACCAGAAAAAUUGGGUACUCUUACUCUUCAUAGAGAAACUCAACAAAAAAACCUAGAAAAAUUGGUUACUCCUAACCUGUGAAAUGUUUAAUAGGUCAUCUCUGAACCUUAAAUGGCUAAAAUAGAGAAGGAAAAUGUACUUGUGGAAUCGUCUUCUGUAGAUAGCAAGAGGCCUGCAUCUAUGGAAAAUGACGUGAGUGAGAGUAUGUGAGGAGGAACCACUCCACCUGUGGAGUUCGUGUGAGAGAGAGAGGAUGCGAGAGAGGGCGUUGCACGAAUGGGCAUGAGAGAGAGAGAGGAUGCGAGGAGGUAGGAAAAUGGCCUUCUGUAGAGAGAGAGCUUCCAUGUGUUUUGAAUUAGAGAGAGAUUCAUAACGGGGCUGUUGAAAACAGAGAGAGAGCCCUGGUUCACCAACGAAAAGAGAGAGAGAGAGAGAGCUCUGGCUUAUCAGUGAAGUUAGAGAGAGCGAGAGAGAGAGAGCUUUGGUUCAUUAGCGAAGAUAGAGAGAGAGAGCCACGGUUCAUCAGUGAGAAAAUAGAGAGAGAGCCUUGGUUCAUCAGCGAAGAUAGAGAAAGAGAGUCAUGGUUCAUCAGUGACGAUAGAGAGAGAACCCUGGUUCAUCAGUGAAGCCCUGAUUCAUUAGCGAAGAUAGAGAGAGAAUGAAGACGUAGCCCAUAAGUGUACCUUUUUUGCAGUGCCCAUAGGUGUACCUUUUGGCAGUCAUUCAAGGGAAAAAAAGAAUUUUUUGAAUGCCGUGGGAUGCUUGCUCAACUAUCCGUUUUACCUCUUUAAAUCUACAUCGUCGAGAGUACCGUAGACCUAUACACGAAUGGGCAUACUCGUGCAUUUUCCAUAUAAGCGCACCUCAGACCUAUAACUAUUCAUUUUCGCUUAUAGGCAUUGGGAAAACUUUUUCUAUUAUUUACGAUGAAAAUCUGACAGAUCUUCCGAUGAAGAUCUCUCGAAUGUUAACACUUUAAACUAAUAAAAUAGAUGUAAAUAAAGUAGUAGAGAAAGUAGGACAGAUUGAAUUCAGAUUUGAGGCCAGAUUUACCUGGNNNNNNNNNNNNNNNNNNNNNNNNNACAAGUUAACAGAUCAAAAAUAAAUGAAAGAAGGAAAACAGUAAAAAGGAAGAAGAAAGAGAUAUGAAGGAAUAAUACCAAAUCGGGCCGGAUGGCCCGAGAUACCCGAGCCUUCGAGGACUCGCCCAUAUCAGAACUGGUCCUAUUUGCCUCUCUAAUUCGGAUGUUGACCAGCAGAACUUCAAAUAGGGUGUCUAUCUUCCAAAGGAUUUUCAAUCUAGAGAUUUUUCUAAAGCUGUCGGUCUUUCUAGGGGCCUGGAGGAGAAUUUCCUUAGUUUUAUGAGGGUUUUGUGAUCUCUAGAGGUUGAAUAUGAAUUAUGAAAUUUUAUCUAAUUUUUUGGGGAUUUUCCCUAAAUUUUUAGGAAUUUUAUAAGGGUUUUUCAUAUUUUUUGUAUUUUUGGGUAAUUUUCCUAAUUUCGGGAAUUUUUAAGGUUUUUUUGGUUUGUUUUUCUCUCUCUUUUUGGGUAAGGAAGAAGGGGUAUUUAUAAGAUUCAAUUGGUGAUUAUUCCUAAUUUUUUAGAGUUUUUUUCAAAAAAAUUUGGAUUUAUAUUGAAGUUUUAGCCUUCUAUAAUUAAAGAAAACACUCUUACUGUGUCAUCAGAUGUGUUGACUACAUCAUCAGCCCGCCUUUGGGCCUGUCGGGACCGUUACAGCUUGGCCCGCGGCACGACAGUUGGGUCUCACGGGGACUAAAUUAUCAUUUAUUAUAUCUUUUUAUCCAUAGGUCCGAUUCAAGCAAUUCUUGAACCGUUUGAAAGCUCUUGGGCGCUACUUCAAAUUGGGAUAGGAUUUAGGUAGUUUUGGGGUAAUGAAAUUGGGUCUACUAGCAUAAUGUGGCCCUAAGGGUUUAGAAAAUCAUAGAAUUUGCCAGAUUUAAAAUGGGGUGUCUAUAGUUGCCCCUCUUGGCACUCUCUAUCCUUUGAGGGACAGGUGAGUAACAAAGAAGUAGACACUUUGGCGUUAUCUGUCAUUUGAGGGGUAGGUGAACGUCAAAGAUAAAACAGACAUUUUAAAUUUCUUCAUGAGGUCACGUAGUCAGGGGGGCACACCAACUAUCCCUCCAAGUCAUUAGGCUCACCGAGCUCACCCACCUAGGGCAUUUUUCCUCCUUAGGUUUUCAGCGUGAGAUGUCGGUGAGUUAUAAAAACUUGAAACUGGAGUUGGGAUUUUCUAGCCAUAUCACUUAACUUCAGAGGUUUUUGUAAUUUGAAUUUUUAACCUUGGCAUUUUCUUUGAUCUCCUUAGGUUUCUUAAGGUUGUCUAUAGGAAAAGGCUUUCUAUAGGAAAAGUCUUGUCUGGUCGAAUCCAAAGUGAGAGACGAGGCAGCAACAUGGCAAUCGUGGCAACGUGGUAAUCAUCAUAUACAGGUGUCCAAGCUCCUUCAUUUUUUUAAGACUUUUUAGAAUUUUUGAAAGUAGGUGGAGAUUUGAAAUAGAACCCGGAGCAAGGACAGUCUACGAUUUUAACAAAGAAAUUAAAGUUUUUGGAAAACACAAGACAUAUAGUGAAAAUUUUGAAAAGAGAAAGAUAUUUCGAAAAACAAGGAUAGGGUAGCAGUUUUAACUCCUACAACCAUAGAGCCCUCUAAGAAGUUUAACGUCAUGCAACGAUGGACCAUACACCCGACCCUUUUACCUCAAUCCGGGGAUAGACGAAAUCCAUCAAACAAGGUGGUUGUGACCUAGAUACACCCAACCUUUUUGCGUCAUACGGGGCUAGACGGUACAUGUCUUGGCUCUUUUAUGUCGUACGAGUUUGACUUUUUUUUAUCGAAUAGGGUCUUUGUGCCCAGGAUACACCCAACCUUUUACGCCAUAUAGGGAUAGACGGUACCUGCCUCGGCUCUUUUACGUCACAUGAGUUUGACGUUUUUUCAUUGAAACAGGGUGGUUUUGCCCUAGAUAUACCCGACCUUUCACGUUAUAUGGGGAUAAACGUUACCUGUCUCGACUCUUUUACAUCGCACGAGUUUAACUUUUUUCUUGUGAGACAAGGUAGUUGUGCCCCUGAUACACCCGACCUUUCACAUCAUACGGGGGUAGACAAUAUCUGCCUCAACUCGUUUACGUCGCACGAGUUUGACGUCUUUUCUAUCUCGGCUCUUUAACGUUGCACGAGUUUGAGGUUUUCGCUGUCUCGACUCUUUAACAUCACACGAGUUAGACGUUUUCCUGUCUCGGCUCUUUAACAUCGCAUGAGUUUGACAUUUUUUCAUGUCUCGACUCUUUUAAUGUCACACGAGUUUGAUGAUUUUUUUCCUGUCUCGACUCUUUGACGUCUUAUUCUAUCUUAGCUCUUUUACGUCGCACGAGUUUGACGUUUAUCCUGUCUCGGCUCUUUUACGUCGCACGAGUUUGACGAUUUUCUGAAUUUGACUUUGGGACAUCAUACACACACAUGGGCAUGAGCUUGCCUCAUUUCGCCUCAGGGGAUCCAGUCGAGAGAAAAAUGCUCCCAAACUAGCCAAUAUCGUCAUUAGCGAGGUUCACCCAUCUCCGAUAUGUGGUAGUUGGUAGUUAUACUCAUACAACCAUGGAGUGCCUGGCUAGUUUCAAAUCUUCAUAAUAGGAGUUGGAAGUUGGCUUCAAGAAUGAGGCCAGAUCGACUAGCAGUUUAACCUCUAGUAGUGAUGGAGGAAGUCCUUUCUAAAAGGGUUUUAAAAAUGGAGGGUUUUAACAAUCAGAUUGAAAAAGUCUUUUUAAAAGGGACGGGCCCUACAGUUUUGCUACCUGUAGCCCCUUUGGUGGUCCCUAUGUGAGCGUAUCGAAUCCUUGCUUGAAUCUUCGGGACAAGGAAUCAUCAAGUAUUUCUUUAUCUUCCAACCUCAGCUCUUGUAUUGCAAUUCAAUGAGACUUCUCUGGAGUUUCGAGUGAAACAAAGUCUUGAAGAUACAUGAUAUCGCCCCUAGGUGUUUAGAAUCUCUUUGGAUUUUCGGUUUCGUUCCUCCACCACUCACCUUUCAAAGUUUCAGACAAUCUAGGUUCUUCACAAUGUUCCGUCAGGCUAAUGUUUAUUGAUUUUCUUUUAACACCAUUUUGACUCAGGGGGCGGAAAAGAAGAUGUUUAGAGACAAAAGACUUUGGAGAGUAGAAGGAAGGAGAAAACUUCUUCUUUUUCAACGCCCCGGGGUCCCUUUCAGGUGUUUAGCCCGAUAACCUUUUUUAUCAACGCUUGGGGUUCCUUUCGGAUUGUCAGCCCAACGGAUUUUUUUUUUUUUUCUUUUUUUUUUAUCGCUCUCGGGUCCCUUUCGAGUGUUCAGCACAAUAGCCUUUUUUCCAAUGCUUGGGAUUUCUUUUGGAUUUUCAGCCUAGCGGAAUUUUUUUUUUUUUUUAAAAGAAGAAAAUAAUGACAAAGGCAGAGGGGGAGGAAGAAGAAGAGUCAAAAGGUACCCCCUUUUCUUUUAUUUUUAACAACGCACCUUAAGAUCUUAUAAGAAUUCGAUCAUCUUUCCCUCCUCCAAGUGGCAGGGACGUUCAACUAUGGGUCUUCCUCUAAUUUUCCUUAAGGUAGGUUGGCAUCCAAAAUUCUUUGACAAUGGUUGCUGAGUCUCCGUUGAAUUUUUCCUUUAAACUGCUCCACUAGAACCUUGAUUUGGGACUACAAAUCACUCUAAGUUUCCUAAUCCCUCAGUCUUCUGUAUGGACGGAUAGGCUCAUCAGGGUUUUCCCAUUAAUGGAGUAUUCUAUGUUACACAUUAGGCGUUAAUGCCUUUUGAAAUAUGAGACAUGAAUGCCUCAUUUGGUUAUUUGAAAGGGGUGAGUGAUCACCCAACUCCUUUUCGAUAAUCUUUUUCAUUGCAAAUUUUGAAUUGCUUUUCAGAGGUUAACUUCACAGUAGGCUCUUGCUCAGUGCUCGAGCUUAGGUGAGAUUCUCGUACCUAAAGAGUAAUUAAGUUGGUAUUAUAUGGCCUUACGCAUGUUGGGAGUCAAUGAAGAAGGGUUCAAUCUCAUUAGUUGUCCCUAUUGUAUCCUCUUCAUGAGAGGAGUUUGCCCCUAUUGAAUAUUUUGAUGGGGUUGCCCCUGCAGGGCUUUCUGUUCCAUUGGAACUUAUUCUUCACAUGAUGAAUUCUCUUGAUAUGGUGGUGCUCCGGUUAUCAAAGUUGUGCUCAUAUCCAUAGAGCCUACCUCUUGAGGAGGUAACAUGGUCGGAUUUUUUAUAUCCAAUUCUUGAUCCCAGAUUGAUGGAUCAUUCAAGAAAUCCUGUGAAGGUAGUCCAGGUGGGCCCCUUAGAAUUUUCAAAGGUUCAAACUCUAUCAAUUCUAGUAAAGAUGCCAAAUCUUUGGGAAUAGUCAAAUUUGGGCUCUUUGCUUUUCCAUCAUCUAUAACUGGGUACACCUUGAGAGGUGACUUGGUUAAAUCUUCUAAGUUUGGCACCUCAUCCUACAUAGGUGGGUUGGCGAAGAAGUCUGGUGAAGGUGACCCAGGUAGGGCCCUUAGAAUUUCUAAAGGUUCGACUUCUUUUGAUAUUUGAAGUAUUGGUCCCUUAUUUGGAAGCAUAAUGGGAGACUUUGGGUUGUUGACCCCUUGUUUGGAAGAUGAUCCCUUCUCGUUGAUCUGGAUCAAAUCAAUUUCUAACACUUCAUCCUCAUCAUAUUGAUCCAUUUUAGGUGGGUCAUCAAGGUUAUGGGAUGAAGGGCUUCUUUUUAGCACUUGCUCAUUUGCCCUCUCAUGAGUUAUUGUCCCAUAAUUAAGAUUUUUCUUGUCGUCAUAGGCUUAGGAAUCCAUUGCUUCAAAACCUUGGUUGAGCUUAUGCUCGAGUUCAUAUUGCUCUUGCAAGUUUGAUUCGUUGCCACACACGUGUGAACCCUUUAUUGUGUUAACUUGGAAGUACAUGCUGAAGGGUUCAUAUGCCCUAGUGUGGCUCUCAAUGAUGGAGAUUUCUUAUGCCACUUUUGGGAGUGUAUAUUGGAGUGGAAUUCCAUAUGCGAUACCCAUUUCUUUGCCCCAUUCUUCAGGUAUGGGCUUGGAGAUAAGAUCACCAUCGCUGCUUUGAUCUUUAGUCAUUAACUCUUGGGUGAGGUUAUGCUCGUUUUGUUUUUCAUCUACUGGACUUUCCAGUCGAUUUCUUCGUGUACUCCAGUCCUUUAUGGAUGGUCUUCAGGUUUGGGCAAAACUUGUGAUUCUCCUGAGUUAAUCAUGUUGACAUCAGAUUUGUUUGUCAAUGCAUCUAGAGUUUCUAGUUUUUCUAUGUCAUCAGCCUCUUACUUUCUGACACUUAUCGUGCCAUUAUCAAUGAGGUCCUGAACUCUAUAUCUGAAAGCUUGACAUUCCUCAGUGUUAUAGGCAUAGUUUUGAUGCCAAUCGCACCAUUGAGAUAUAUCACCUCCAUGGAAAUGAGGAAUCUUGGCUUCUGUCGGUAAUUAUAUGAGCCUUGCCUUAAGCAACUUCUUCAUGACAUCGGUCAUAGGCUCAUCAAUGGGAGUGAAUUCCCUUGGUGUAGAAGUUGCCAUCUGGUAGAAUGAAUUUUAGUCUUUCCUUGUGAAUGGUUUGCAGAAGGAAUGCUUCUCUUGAUAAUGUUCACUUCUCCUUCUUGAGAGGGUUUUUCAGCUACGGCCUUAUCUUCUUUGGCUCGCUCAUACCGCGAUACUCUUUCAAGAAUAGCAUGAAAUGAGCAAGGGACUGCCCCAUACUAAAAAACAUGACAUAUUUUGGAGUCAUGUUUUGUAAUGUCAGGCUUACCGUCGCGGUUUCAGGGAGUGGAGUUUCAAUAACACGCAUAGCAGCCUCUCUGAAUCUGGUUAUAAAUAGGGAAGGAGACUCGUCUGACUUCUAUUUGGUGGAAGCUAAUUCACCAAGGGUGACGGGUCUUGGUCUUCCCCCACUAUAGCGGGAGGAAAAUUGCUUGAACAUUUCGUCAGGAGUUGCUUGAGGGUCAUUCUUAAUGAAUCUUCGGUGCUACAUCAAGGGUUCUUCUGAUAAGCUAUACGAAAACAUGACCUUACGUUGUUUAGGUCGGUCUUGCAAUGUGUGGACCAUCAAUAAGUAGGCGUUGAUGUGUGCCUCAGGAUCCUCUUUUCCUAGAAAUUUGUUUCUGAACUGUGGCAUCACAAAUCCCACUGGUAGAUCUUCUAGGUGUUCUAGAAUUUCUUGUACAUAAGCUUUAGGAGUUGAGAAAUCUCAUAUUCCCAUUUUCUUUAAAGAGUCUUGAAGCUGUUUCAUACGAGCAAAUUGAGCCGUCGUUAUAGAUGUGAGCUGGCUCGGUUGUAUGGUCUGUUGAACCUGACUUUGUGGUAUGUGACUCGUAUAAACUGGCUAUUGGGCCCAUGUAGCAGGUUGCCCCAAGGACUGAGACUGAGGUUGAACUUGAAGUGUUGAUUGUCGGCUUGUAGACUCACCCGAGCUGAGUUGGGUCAGAGCAUACCCAUUACUUGGAGGUUGCACAACUUGGCCACACAAGGAGGCCUGGGGGAUAGGAUCACCACUUAACUGGGAUGGAUGGCUCAAGCUGCUAUGACGAUUGGACCUCUGACCUCGAGUGGCUAGGUUUACUUGACUCUAACCUUGGUUGGAUGAUCUAUCCCUAGGGUUAGGGUAUUCUCUUGCCGCAGCACUGGACUGAAAGAGUGAAGGAAUGUCAUAACUACUGCCAGAUGGAGUCUGCCCUCUAGGUAGUCUUAGGCUCGAGUGAUGAUUAGAACUAGACCUCUGACCCGUAGUGGAUUGGAUUAGCAGGCUAACAGUCUUAGGAUUAUCUUGGUUUGAGUCAAAAUGUUGGACUUGGCCUAAGGCUUGAGCUUCUGACCUGACUUUCAUGGAUUGAGUGCACUGGAUAGUGUAUCCUCUAUUGAUCAGGUCUUGAAAGUAAUCAUGCACUUUAGGAUUGUCUUUAUAUCGAGUUAGGUCAAAACCCUGAUCUUCAUUGGUGAUGGGUUGCUUGGGUAGACUUUCCCUUGUUGUAUGUGAACCCACUCUCCUACUAACUGGCAGAUUGCCAAGACUAGAAUGUUGGGCUGCUAAUUGACCAUCGUGGUUCACACGGUUGAGAUCGGCUUACUUAGAGACUUGGGUCGGGACCUUAUUCUUGUUAUGCCGACUGGAUUUGAGGUUAACCCCUAUGUAUUGGAGGAUUGACCCAGCCUGACCCCUUGACUAUUCAGGGUAUUACAAACCUUAUCAACCUGUUGGCUCGUGAGUUUUAAAGGGUGGCCUUGAAGGUGGCUUAGACGGCUAGGUUUGGUUCUAUGUGGGUUGAGAGUCGGCUCACUGACACGAGUGCUAUGGAUGAUUUGUGAGGGAAAGGUACCUCUCAGACUGACUAGGUUCUCUGGAUCUAGACUGAGCUAAGACCAUAGGGUUGGACCUUGCUCUGCCAUGAUCUUGGGUCAUGAUUCCUAGACUCGGUGAGAUCUAGACUUGACGCCUUAGGGUAGACCUAGUUUGACUCUAGGGGCAAAAACCCUAAGUAAGACCUAGGCUAAGACUAGACUGGAACCUACACUUGCUAAACUCAAUGGAUUUUGGUUCAAACUCUGAACUAGGGUAAGCCUAGUCUAGCUCUAGAGGCAACUCUAUGCUUAGACCUAUACUAAAACCUAGACUAAGAUCUAGAAUAGAUGGUGCACGACUCUCGGCUAGGACCAAGAGUGGGUAUAGGUUUGGAGGGGUAAGCAACCCUAAUGUUUUUUUUUUUUUCUGAUAUUUUUAAUUUUGAUGAAACACAGUUAAACUAAGNNNNNNNNNNNNNNNNNNNNNNNNNNNNNNNNNNNNNNNNNNNNNNNNNNNNNNNNNNNNNNNNNNNNNNNNNNNNNNNNNNNNNNNNNNNNNNNNNNNNNNNNNNNNNNNNNNNNNNNNNNNNNNNNNNNNNNNNNNNNNNNNNNNNNNNNNNNNNNNNNNNNNNNNNNNNNNNNNNNNNNNNNNNNNNNNNNNNNNNNNNNNNNNNNNNNNNNNNNNNNNNNNNNNNNNNNNNNNNNNNNNNNNNNNNNNNNNNNNNNNNNNNNNNNNNNNNNNNNNNNNNNNNNNNNNNNNNNNNNNNNNNNNNNNNNNNNNNNNNNNNNNNNNNNNNNNNNNNNNNNNNNNNNNNNNNNNNNNNNNNNNNNNNNNNNNNNNNNNNNNNNNNNNNNNNNNNNNNNNNNNNNNNNNNNNNNNNNNNNNNNNNNNNNNNNNNNNNNNNNNNNNNNNNNNNNNNNNNNNNNNNNNNNNNNNNNNNNNNNNNNNNNNNNNNNNNNNNNNNNNNNNNNNNNNNNNNNNNNNNNNNNNNNNNNNNNNNNNNNNNNNNNNNNNNNNNNNNNNNNNNNNNNNNNNNNNNNNNNNNNNNNNNNNNNNNNNNNNNNNNNNNNNNNNNNNNNNNNNNNNNNNNNNNNNNNNNNNNNNNNNNNNNNNNNNNNNNNNNNNNNNNNNNNNNNNNNNNNNNNNNNNNNNNNNNNNNNNNNNNNNNNNNNNNNNNNNNNNNNNNNNNNNNNNNNNNNNNNNNNNNNNNNNNNNNNNNNNNNNNNNNNNNNNNNNNNNNNNNNNNNNNNNNNNNNNNNNNNNNNNNNNNNNNNNNNNNNNNNNNNNNNNNNNNNNNNNNNNNNNNNNNNNNNNNNNNNNNNNNNNNNNNNNNNNNNNNNNNNNNNNNNNNNNNNNNNNNNNNNNNNNNNNNNNNNNNNNNNNNNNNNNNNNNNNNNNNNNNNNNNNNNNNNNNNNNNNNNNNNNNNNNNNNNNNNNNNNNNNNNNNNNNNNNNNNNNNNNNNNNNNNNNNNNNNNNNNNNNNNNNNNNNNNNNNNNNNNNNNNNNNNNNNNNNNNNNNNNNNNNNNNNNNNNNNNNNNNNNNNNNNNNNNNNNNNNNNNNNNNNNNNNNNNNNNNNNNNNNNNNNNNNNNNNNNNNNNNNNNNNNNNNNNNNNNNNNNNNNNNNNNNNNNNNNNNNNNNNNNNNNNNNNNNNNNNNNNNNNNNNNNNNNNNNNNNNNNNNNNNNNNNNNNNNNNNNNNNNNNNNNNNNNNNNNNNNNNNNNNNNNNNNNNNNNNNNNGACAGAUCGAAUUCAGAUAUGAGGCCAGAUUUGCCAGGAAACGAGCAUAUCUACUCUCAGAUAUGUGGUAGGGCCAGUAUGAUCCAAAGCAUUAAUAUACGAUUUUUAAGACAAGUUAACAGAUCAAAAAUAUAUAAAAGAGAAAAAAUAGGAAAAAAGAAGAAAAAAGAGAGAAAGAAAUAAUACCAAACCAGGCCGGAUGGCCCGGGAUUCCCGAGCCUUCGAGGGCUCACCCGUAUUAGAACUGGUCCUCUUUGCUUCUCUGAUUCGGAUGUUGACCAGCUGAUAUCCAGCGUAAAAAGCUAGAUCUAGGGUUGUUGUGCCCUAAUUAUCGUUUUGAUCUAAGGUUUUUGUGCCCUAGGUUUAGGUUUUCUCAGUCUCGGGGGUUAGGACUUCAAAUAGGGUUUCUAUCUUCUCUAGGGUUUCCAAUCUAGAUAUUUUUUUAAAGCUGUCGGUCUUUCUCGAGGUCUGGAGUAGAAUUUCCUUAGUUUUCUAAGGGUUUUGUGAUGUCUUGAGGUUGAAUAUGAAUUCUGAAAUUUUCUCUAAUUUUUUGGAGAUUUUUUCUUUAGAAAUUUUAUAAGGGUUUUUCUUAUUUUUUAUAUUUUUUGGUAAUUUUUCUAAUUUCGGGAAUUUUUAAGGUUUUUUUUGUCUCUUUUUCUCUAUCCUUUUGGGUCAGGGAGAGAGGGUAUUUAUAAGAUUCAAUUAGUGAAUUUUUAAAAAAAAAUUAAAAUUUUUUCGAAAUUUUUUUUAUUUAUCUUGAAGUUUUAGCCUUGUUUAAUUAAAGAAACUGCAUUUACUGCAUCAUCAGAUGCGUUGACUGCGUCACCCACGUCUAGGCCUGUCGGGCCCAUAACAGCCCGGCCCGCGGCCCGACAGUUGGGUCUCACAUGAAUUAAAUUGUUGUUUGUUAUAUCUUUUUAUUCGUAGUCCGAUUCAGGCGAUUCUUGGACCGUUUGAAAGCUAUUGGGCUCUACUUCAAAUUGGGAUAGGUUUUGGGUAGCUUUGGGGUAUUAAAUUGAGUCUACUAGGAUAAUGUGGUCUGAAGGGUUCAGAAAACCAUAGAAUUUGCCAGAUUUAAAAUGGGGUAUCUACACUUAUAUAUAUAUAUAUAUAUAUAACUGAGGCUCUAAACAAUCAAAUUAGAGCCUACCUCAAAAAUUUCAAUAGAAUGGGUUGUUUUGAUUCCCAAAUAUCCACAAAUUGAUCAUCUCGACAUCAAGAUGCAUGGACAUAAGAAAUGGAUUUCAAGUUUUGGAAAUAGUUUACUUUGUAGCGCAUUUUUUUACCAUCAAUUUUCAAGAUUUUCAAUUUUUCAUGCAUCUGUCGAUCUACACUAUAUUUGAAGCCUUAAACUUUAUAAAUAAAGAUGAAAAUAUUUUUAAGGCUAUCACAAAGAUUUCCAAUAUUUAAACCACAUUUCUUAAAAUUAUUUGAAGGUAGAUUUUAAUUUGAUUAUUUGAAGAACACACGCCUAAAAUUUUAAGUGAUUUGGAUUUGUAGAAAAAAUUUAAAAUUCAAAUACUACCAAACAUAUGUGAUCGUCAGAUCGACCCAGAUUCAAUGUGGGCCGUUGAAUUCAUUUUUUUCGGUGAGCUAGUNNNNNNNNNNNNNNNNNNNNNNNNNNNNNNNNNNNNNNNNNNNNNNNNNNNNNNNNNNNNNNNNNNNNNNNNNNNNNNNNNNNNNNNNNNNNNNNNNNNNNNNNNNNNNNNNNNNNNNNNNNNNNNNNNNNNNNNNNNNNNNNNNNNNNNNNNNNNNNNNNNNNNNNNNNNNNNNNNNNNNNNNNNNNNNNNNNNNNNNNNNNNNNNNNNNNNNNNNNNNNNNNNNNNNNNNNNNNNNNNNNNNNNNNNNNNNNNNNNNNNNNNNNNNNNNNNNNNNNNNNNNNNNNNNNNNNNNNNNNNNNNNNNNNNNNNNNNNNNNNNNNNNNNNNNNNNNUGGUCAAAAGUUUCGAAAUUGACGGUCAGGACGGCUUGGUAACGUUCCACCCUUAUUUCAUUAAAAAAAAAUAUAUUUUCCACCCUUAUUUUAUUAAAAAAAUAUAUAUAUUUUUAAUGAUCCAGUGACACAUCGGUACAUAAUAGUACUGAUAUGAGUAAUGAUAGCUUAUCUCUCCUAUACUCACUCCUAUUCUCUCUCUCUUCCAAAUCAAUGCAUUUUCUCUCUCUUCCUUGGUUUUCUUCCUCAUCCAUGUGUCCCUCUUUCCUCUGCUCAAACACAGGCCGCUCGCUCUCUCUCUGUCUCUCUUUCCCUUGCUCGUUGAGAAAAACCCAAAGGCCCCUCGUCUUCCCUAUUCAAAGGCCGCUCAUCUUCCAUCUUCCCUGUGCCUUUCGCUCGCUUAAAAAAACCCAAAGGCCGCUCACUCGAUCCCUGGUGUGGCCUCCCCACCCUCUCUCUUUUCCCCUGAUGUUAAAGAAUACCCCAAAGGCCACUCUCUCUCUCUCUAUCUCUCUCUCUACCCAUCGCUCGCUCGAUCCCUGACUAGCCUCCUAACAGCAGCUCACCCCAUCUCUAUAGGUACUCUCUUUCUCUCUAUAUAUAUUUGACUCAGUUAAAAUGAGUUUAUAUCACAAAUCUAUAGUAUCCAUUGGGGUUUAUAUCAUAAACUAAUUUGCAUAUGAUUUUUUGGAAUUAUGUUAUUAUUUCUUUCAAAAAAUUACCAUUAAUCGAUGGAAAUGGUUGAUAAUAGAUUGUUGUACACACACGUCCCAUAAUUUUGCAGGUUAAUGGUAAAACUACCUUUGGCAUUCAAAAAAGGGUUUGUUAUAUUUCCUCAUCAGUUUUGAACGAUAUUCCAAGUCAAUUCAUACUAGGAAAACGGUUAUCUCAAUUUGUCGAUAAGAUGAUCAGAAAUAAAAGCGGCGUGGUUGUUUUUUAAUGAAAUAUCCAACUCCAUGUUUAUCCAUCUCCAUGUUAUAAAAACUUGUGAUGUAUCUAUCUGUUGCAAUUUUUGUAUGUGGCAAGGUGGGUUGAGAAAAAUACGAUUGGUAUUAUUAAAACUGAAAUAAAUUGUAUUUCUAAUUUCAGUUAGAAUGAGUUUAUAGGUACUCUUCACUCUGUAUUUGGCUCAGUUAAAAUGAGUUUAUAUCACAAAUCUGUAGUAUCCAUUAGGGUUUUUCCUGUAUUUUUUUCCCAUUGGGGUUUUUCGCCCCUGUUGCAUUGAGUUUACAUCACAAAUAUGUAGUAUCCAUCUGUUGCAAUUUUUGCAUUUGUUUCUAUAGGUUGAGAAAAAAUAUGAUUGGUAUUAUUAAAAUUGAAAUAAAUUGAGUUUCUGAUUUCAGUUCAACAGAUUCUCUCUCAGCAUCGAUGUGUUUUUGUGCAUUGGCUACAGAGAGAAAAUACAAUGGCUGAUGCAUUCCAUGGAUGUGAUAGAGUGAGAAUAGCAUUUGAUCGCAUCUGAUCAUUUUAACAGAAGCAUCCUUUAAAAAACAAAUCAAAUGAGUUCGUUGAGAACAAGUUUUCUUUCAAAAAUUUCUAAGCUUUGUUAUGUUUAUUUUUAUACAUUUUGAUAUAACAUAUAUUAUGUCUAAGCCCAAUAUCUUCAUGUGGCAUCUGAUGCACCAUAUAAUGAAUUACUUACUCUUGGAAAUUAGAAUACAUCUGUCGCAAAUUUUUAUUUAUUUUUUCAAUUGUGUCUUUCUCCCCCAUUUUCUUUCCCUUUUUGUUUUUUUGUUUUUUUGUUGCAUUUUUUUUUUUUUGCCCAUUGGGUUGUUUUGUCCCUACUGCAUUGAGUUUAUAUUACAAGUAUGUAGUAUCCUUUGUUACAAUUUUUGCAUGUGGCAAAGUGGGUUGAGAAAAAUAUGAUUGGUAUUCUUAAGAUGAAGGUUUGAAUACAUGUGUUUUUGUAGUUUACAGUUUCACGUUAGGUAAGUCAAAAAACUGAGAUGGAUUCCACGAAUUCAAUGGGUGUGACAUUCAGCACAUACCCAAAUGUAGGCAGCAUUGAUGAAAUCCCGGAGGUGGUUGUGGCACCUCAAACAUAGGCCAAUAAAUAGAAGAACCAUAUAUAGGAAUGAUGUUUGGAUCAUAGGAUGAUGCAUAUGAGUUCUUUAAUUCUUAUGCAUUGACUAAAAGUUUUGGUAUUCGUAUGGGGAGUACUCAUAACAAGAAAGGUAAACGGAUCGAUAGGGUUUAUAUUUGCUCAAAGGAAAGCUUUAAACAAGAAAAACCUAAUAAAAGUGGAAAGGUUUACCCUGAGUUAAGGUGUGGGUGCAAGGUUAGGAUGUACAUAAGUAGUCAAGAAGACGGCGAGUGGAAGUAACUAGCGUCAUUAAAGAUCAUAAUCACGAUCUAGUUAGUCUAAGAAAAACUCGUCUAAUUCACACACAUCGAUUAUUGUCGAGUGCUACAAAGUUAUUGAUACAUUCAAUGAGCUCAGCAAUGAUUAAGCCUAGACAUAUUAAUGACAUAUUUAUAGAGCAGGCUGGACGGAUCGACAAUGUCCCUUAUAUACAAAAGGACAUUCAAAAUGAAAUAGUAAGCGCUAGAAGAAAACUUAAAGGGGAAGAUGGCAAUUUAAUUUUGUAAUGGCUUUAUAAAAACAACCAAUCGAACCCAUCAUUUUUCUAUAGAUUGAGAUUAGAUGGUGAUAAUCACAUUCGCAGUAUCUUAUGGGUAGAUUAUACAUCUAGAGUUUCCUACAAGUGCUUUUCUGAUGUGGUUACCUUUAAUACCAUAUAUAUGACAAAUACGUUUGGUGUGCCCUUUGCACCUAUACUUGGUGUAAAUCAUAAUUUCAGUACAACGUUUUUUGGAUUUGCACUCAUAUUUGACGAGAAAAUAGAAUCAUUUAUAUAAGUAUUUGAAAACUGGUUGGAAGCCAUAGGUGGACGGCAGCCAUACAUUAUUCUCACUAAUCAAGAUCCUGCAAUUUUAUAUGCAAUGAUGCAAGUUCUCUACCAAAGUAAACAUCAUUAUUGUAAGUGACACAUAUUUACGAAGAUCAAAGAAAAAAUGUGUCUUGUCUUGCAUAUGCAUCUUUCUUAUUCAAAUACAUUUAGGAGGUGUGUGGCUAGCGCAACAAUUAAAGAAUUUGAAUUGGGAUGAAAAUCAAUGAUUGAUAAUUAUAAGUUGGAAGACAAUGAAUGGCUUAGUAGACUUUAUGGUUGUCGCAUGCAAUGUGUUGAUGCAUACUUGGCUGGCACAUUCAUUGUGGGUAUUACCUCUACUCAAAUGAGUGAAGGGAUGAAUGCACACUUCAAAAUGUACUUGACACCCACAACAAGCUUGCGUACAUUAUUAGAAGUUAUUCCAAAAGUCCAAGAUAAGAAGGUGCGAAAAUAAAGGGAAAAUGACUGAAAAGAUAUUCAAACUACUCCAAUCUUGCGAACAGCCACUUUCAUUGAGUCACAUGCAUAAAAAAUUUGUACUCAAAAUAUUUUAAAGAUAUUUGGGGAAGAGGUGGCUAAUUACUUUAAUUUUACGAGGGAGACAAUUGAAAACAAUGGAUAGGUUGCUACCUUUAAGGUGGCAGUCCCGAGGACCGGAUCUAGACCCUACUUAAUGAAAUUCAAUUGUCAUGACAAUUCCGAUUCUUGCAGUUGUCACUUCUUUGAGAGGAUGGGUCUUCUUUACAAGCAUGUACUGAAGUUUUUUAUGGUGAAAGAUGUAUUUGAAAUCCUUUCACAAUAUAUAAUGAGGCGUUGGACCAAGGAUGUAAAGAAGUGAGUUUUUCUUGAUGACAUUAGGGAACAAAUUCAAGUAACAUCUGAACUACCAUGCUCUAUUAGAUAUAAUGAGGCUAUGCAGGCAAGUCGAUCCCUUGCCGAGCGUGCUUCACGAAGUAUAGAGGCCAUGGGUUUGUAAUGUCCAUGAUACAAAAUGGAAUUCGUCAGUUUGAUGAAAAGUUUGUGUGCAAGAGAGGUCUAUAGGAUAAUGCCAUGAGUUAUCUCAAUGAAUAUGACAAUUCCGCUAGAUGUAGUAACGUACCAAGUGGAAGUAACCAUUGCCACAAUAUCCUUGAACCUGCACGUGCACGGACAAACGGACGACCGGUCACUAAAAGAAUGAAAGCUUGUUCUGAGGGAUGGAAGCCGAAGACUAAAAAAACAAAAUGCGCAGUCUGCAAUGGCAGUGGACAUGACAAAAAGAAUUGCUCGUCGUUCGUUGUGAUAGGUACAAUUACAUACCUUUGUAUUAUUUUGAUUUGCAAUUGUGUUAUCUUCAUUAUUGUUGAUAUAUUUGAUUUACAAUUGUAUUAGUUUAAUUGAAAUGCUAACAUAAGAAUUUAUCUUCCUCUUACAUGGCUAAGGACAAAACACAUCGUAAGCUUCGGACCCAUAAGACGGCAGCAGAUGUGCAUUGAUGGUAAGAAACAAUUGUUUGGAAGGCAUGUUUGCAAGUUCAUUUUGAAACAUUUUUAUAUAUGUAUAAGUUCAUAUUUGUAAUUUCAUUUGGAACAAUAUUGUCGCUCAUCGUAAUGUGUUUUAUGUCCCAGACAGAGAGAACAAAUUCAUAUGGAACAACUUCAAAGGAGGGGUUAUGUUGUUGGCUUCUUUUUUUCUUUUUUUUUGAAAUGUUUGUUGUUAAACUAUUGCCAUUAUUGAUGGUGGUUGUAUACCAUUCACUCAAAAAAAAAGAUUGUUGUAUGCCAUUGUACUCUUUUCACUUCCUUUUGGGUUAUAUGGUGAUAUGUAAGGUGAUUGGGUACAAGGAACGAACCAUGAUGUAACAAUGGGUUGGACUAUUGAACUUUAUAUGAACAAUUUUGCUAUUGAAUGGACUACCCCAUUUGGAAGGUAGUUUAUGAAUUGUGUAAUAUUAUAAUUAUCAAUGCAAUGUAUUAUAAGUAUAGCAAUAAUUUGUCAGCCUAUUUCUUGAAAGGAUUUUAGAUGAGUAGAAUGUAUACUAAAUUGUCAUCAGAUGCUAUAUAUUAUCACUAGAGCCCGUCUCGUUGAUUGUGAGUCUUUCAAUUCGUUAAGUGUACAAUCCAAGUAAUGUUAUACUACAUGUACGGAGAGAGAGGUAAGAUGUGCAAAUAUGUAGUUUCAAAAAAUUUGGUAUCUAAUUGGGGUAAUGUAUUCCUCUUUAUUUCACACACAUUUAUGAAGGACACGUGCAUUUAUGAAGGACAGGUACAAAGCAAUCAUGUGGAGGUUCAACAUUAAUGGUAUAACUAAUUUUAUAACCGAUUCAAUUAUCCCUAAUCUCUUACGCUCAAAUUAUAAACGAUUCAAUUUUAUUUGACACACAUUUGUGGAAGAAAUCACAUACGCUCAAAUUAUGAGGUUCCAAAAAUGUACAAUGCUAAUAGCAAAUUAUGAAAAUAUUCAAGCCACAAAACCACCAUAAAUUAACAUCUACUCCUUUAGCUUUUAUCAUUCAAACCACUCAAGAAUAUUUGAUGCAAACCGAAAAGAAUAUCAAAUCAUUCACAAUGUACUAUAAGCAAGUAAAUUGUUCACCAUUUAAACUACAAAACCAUAAAAAAUUCACACUUAACUUAUUUAGUUUUCACUUUUCAAAUAUACUAAAUUAAACAUUGUUGUUCCAUAUAAGAUAUAGAAAUAUAAGUGUAUACAAUUAUAAGUAUAUAGAUACCAUAAAAUAUAUAUCCAUUCUUUUUACAAAAAACAGAGGGCAGACAUCAAUAUCAUAAAUAAGAUUAUGAGAGUAAUUUUUUGAACGUCUGCUUUCUUAGGGACUAUAGCACCAUAUUUGCGCUUCUCUUUUUGCUUUCUCAAGGACUAUAGCAACAUAUUUGCGUUUCUCUUUUUCAGAUAGAGAUGCAUCUAGUCCAUCAGCAAUACAAGCAUCUGGCCUCUAAGAGGUGAACCUUUUAACCACAUGCUUAAGGGAAGGGCACCAUCCUAACUAAUAGUUCUGAUUUUACAGUGACAUGUUUUUAUUUCGGAAAAUUAAAAAAAAACCCUAUGACCCAACUUUCUUUACAACCUACCCCCACUAAUUUUUUUCAGGGAAAAUUACAUAAAACUCUCAAAAAUAGAUUUUUUAAGCAAUUUACCCCCAACCUAACCUUUCCUAGCAACUUUUUUCUCAAAACCAUGUUUCCAAGCAAAUAGCCCUCCAACUCAAAAAGACGAAAAAAAAAAAAACAAGACUAAAAUACCCUUCCCUUACCUCACACAUUGACCAUGGCGGUUUGGCAUUUGUUUCUAGAUUAAUGAGCAGUCCGGCAUUUGUGAGCUACAGUCUGGUAAAAUUGGAAAUUGUGUUUAGAACGGCCCGACAGUGUACAGUUCCGGUUCGACAGAAUAGAUGGGUUUGACAAUAUACAACCACGGUCCGACGUUUCCUUUUAUUGGGAUCCAAAAAUGAUUUGUUAUGUAUAAGAAUAUUUUUGUAAAAAAAUAAAAAAUGAACUUUUGCAUUGGGGAGUAUUUGCUAUAAAACUUGAUUUUUGAGAAAAAUAUGCUAAAAAAAAUUAGGGUGGGGUAAAGUGCUUGGAAAGUCUAUUUUUGGGAGUUUUAUGCAAUUUUCUCUUUUUUAUCACAAUUUUUACCCCAAAACAAACUUUUCUAACAAAUACCCCCAGUAAAACAAAUUAUGAUUUUUUAAACCAAAAUGCCCUCAACUACUUAUCUUUUCCCAUAACACACAAAAAGACGGUCCAAUAGUAUAAACAAGCUAUCCAGCAAUAUCCCAAAGAACGGUUUGGCAAUAAGCCCAAAGUGCGGCCCGACAAUGUCCCCACUUGAUUCGGCACAAUAUCCACACGUGAUCCGACACAUUGUGGACUCAAUUCAGCAUUCUUUCUAAUCAUUGAGCAUCUUACGGAGAUGUAACACCAUCGUGUACAGACAAUGACAUUUUUAUCAACAAACCAAUGACUUUUUUUAUUCGCGGAGUACUUACCAGAAAAGUUUGCUUAAUGAUCAAAGUUGCGAUAAAAAAAAUUAAUUGGAAGGAAUUCAACCCCCAUUGAUGAAAUUUGAAGCUCAAACAGUGCAGGAAAAACAAAUUUGUAAACACUUGCAAUUGGACAAACAAACAAAGCGAUACAAAAUCCACUAUACUAUCGAAGUUCAGUUUCAUUAAAAAAAAAAAAAAGUCCAUAAAUUUUCUAGAGUGAUAUGAUCCAAGCUCCUUCCUAUAUAAGUUGUUUUUAUAAUAAAAAUCAGAGCCGUAAAAUAUGAGCUUAGGUGGAAAAGUGAGGCUUGGGCUUUACAAUAAGAGUUGAGUAGGGGUGGCAAUGAACCUAGACCCGACCCUAGGUCCAAAAAUUAGACCAGACAAAUCAGGUCUUGGUCCAAUAUUUGGACCAGAACACUAUUCAAUUAGGCUCGGGUCACGUCAGUUCAGAACCAGACCAGGCGCCACCCCAAGAGUUGAGCCAAACUUCAAAUCCCAAUACAACGCUAAAAUCCCCUAUAAUGGCAAGGAAUUGACUUUCAUAAAAUUCAAAACUCGAAAGUGGUGGGAAUAAUUGAAAACAUAUAAUUCAAAUAAGGGAAUAUAUAUCAUAAGACCAUUUAUUUUUUUGACCUAAAAAGGUUACAAUCUUGACCGUUGGAUUGAUAUAAGGGGGAUGGUGUUGUGUCACUGAUCGGGCACAAAAUCCAAAACAAAAUUUCUCAACAUCUCAAUUUUUUGGAUUUCACAUCCGCUAAUAGUGUGACCUUGUAUCGAAAGUAAAUAGUCUUAUAAUAUACACCCCCUUCAAAUAAUGUGUUACAAACUACAAUACUUGAAGACUUGGUAUUCAUCAUUUUUCAAAUCCAUGAUCGCCAACGUCAAGAUGACCAAUUUGAGAAUUUUCCAGCAUCGUAACAAAAAUACACCGCUGGCUGAAAUUUGAUUUGCAGCUUCACCUUCUAUUGUAAAGCUCUAAUUAACAGUGAGGCAUUACUUUCUAUUGUAAAGGCUAGGCAAAACACCUUCCAAAUAUGACAUAGAACUUUCACAUAGAGGCGAUACUCUUUAACAUAGAACGAACUCAGAGAAAGCAGCAAGUUAACCGUUCCUUCACAGAACAUGGAAAAGAUCAAAAGAUAUGCGCCUCCUAAUGAGAAUGGUUGCAUUGUUGGAAAUCCCUUUUAGUGAACUGGAUGGGCCAGAUGUGCCAAGCUGAUGGAAAGCUGCAUAAGCUAGGGUUUAUAUAACAACUCCCAUAGAAAUAACAUUAAUGACUCUAUUAUCUAGGAAAAAUUUGGCAAUUUAAGAAGAUCCAAGCAAUCCAGAUUUAUAAUACCCUAACAAUCACAUAUCAUAGGCCGAAGGCUAUCAAUGGGAAAGUAGAUCUUCCCAACCCCACUCUUAACAUCACAAAUCACCAUAGCUUCGAAUGAAAAAUCCAGAGAGCUGUACUCGCAAAUUUCGGAUGCAUGAGUAGACAUGAAAGAAAACACAAACAAAAACCCGGCAAGAUGAGAGAGAUCAACGCAACCUCCGGGCUUCUCUCUCAGACUCGAGCAAGGUGAGAAUGUCACCUUCCCUGACAGGCCCCUUCACAUUACGCAUGAUGAAACGAUUCUGAUCAUCCAAAAACUUCACUCGAACCUGAGUCACUUGACCCCUUGAUCCAGUUCUUCCCAUAACCUUAACAACAACUGCGAGCUUCACCUGGGUAUCCAUUUCAGUUGCUGGAAGAAAAAAACAUUGCUUAGAAAAAACUGAUAAAAAUGUCUUCUUAUUUCCAAAGAGGAAAAGAAAAAUGAACAUGCCCCUCUUAAUGAAAUGUUGCUCCAACAAACACCACAUUCUUCUAACCUAUUGCUUCAUAGAGGAACCCAAAUCCCACGACCCAAAGGGACUGUCUCACACAAUUAGAAGACAAUAUAAUGUGAUAUGCCAGGAUCCCAUGGGCCAAUUUAUCGAGAAAAUGAAAUGAACAUGUGCAACUUCUUCUGUGAAAACCAACAAAACAUCAUUUCCCGCUAAACAAUUUUGUGAAUCUCUCAGAAGAGCCAAAUCCCUCUCUUUACAGAUGCAUGUAAUUCACAACCCUGCUUCCGCCAAAAGCCAAAAGAGCUACACAAUCACCUGGGAAGAUGUGAAGGGGUGGACUCAUCGAAAAUGCAGCACAAUAAAAGGGUGUGAUUCUGCUUUUCAGGACAAUUUCAAAUAACUAACAGUAUACACUUUAACAAUGGAUAGAAAAUGUCAAUAGAAAUCCAGAUGGUUGAGGUAUUGAUGGAAAAUGUCAGAGCAGAAGAGAGCCAGAAACUGGAUACUAAGGAUAUAGGGCACCAGGUCCAACAAAAGGUAUCUUGAGAAGAUCAAAGCAAUCAGCAGGAGGAAGGAGGUUGACCUAAGCCAAGAUGAUUCUGCUUAAAAAGGACGGACAUGCACAUAAGGCUCUGGCACAAUCUUGCGAAAUAAAAACCAGAACUAGCUAAAAGGCCAAGAAACCAAAAUUACAAAAACCCAUUAAACAUGAUAAAAACCAAAUUUCCAUAAAGGAAAGUAAACUACAACACAAUGGACAAGAAAACCAUAGUCCAACAGAAUCAUCACCAUAGAUGGUCAUAAAGAGACAUUAAGACCUAACAACAUGAUCACAUCCCGCUCUGGUGGGUCCUAGACUCUGUCCACUGUCACUAUCAUUUAAUUAAACGGUGAUGACCUUAACUGAUUCAGGUUUUCAGAGUCUGCAAUCACAAUAUGCAUUUUCUUAUCACAAUCUCCCCUAUAGUGUCACAAAGUUUGAGAAAUUUUUUUUGAACUUUGAGCUUUGUCAAUGAAAUAAAUGCAGCCACCCAAUUUCACAUCCAAUGGUCAAGAUUAAUUGUGACCACCUUGUAUCAAAGAUAAAUGGUCUCAUUAUAUACUUUCCCAUACAUAUAUAUAUAUAUAUAUAUAUAUAUAUAUAGUAGUNNNNNNNNNNNNNNNNNNNNNNNNNNNNNNNNNNNNNNNNNNNNNNNNNNNNNNNNNNNNNNNNNNNNNNNNNNNNNNNNNNNNNNNNNNNNNNNNNNNNNNNNNNNNNNNNNNNNNNNNNNNCGUUAGAUAUUCUCAUCAAUGCGCACCUAAUAAAAAUAUAAAAACAAAAAAUUCGUGAAAAAAAAAUUGAGCAAAAUACCCCCUGAAACUUUUCGGGGGUAUUUUGGUCAAUUUAUUUCAUGUAAAUAUUUCUUUUGAUAUUUUUUGUAGAUUCGCCUAUUUUUGAAGAACACAAGCCUAAAAUUUCAAGUGAUUUGUAUUUGUAGAAAAUAAAAUAAAAUUCCAACACUAUCGGACAUCCGUGAUCGUCAGAUCGGCCCAAAUUCAAUCUGUACGUACAGAAUCUUUUCCCAUAUGUAUAUAUAUAUAUAUAUAUAUAUAUAGUUCAAAUAUGUCUUGCAAUGAUGGGUAUGAAUACUGUAAAUAAAUUAAUGUGUCAUAAUGCAACAGACAUUAAAAAUAAUAAAAGCAUUGAGUUCUAAAAUAGGGGCAUGAAAACAAUAUUCUUUAAUUUGGUUUCCAAACACGUUGUAGCAAAUUUACAGUAAUAAAAAAAAAUUACAAGCUUGUAUUUAGAAGUGAAUCAAAUCAUCUAAUUCCACUGGUUAUUGCCUCGCACAUUACUGGGUAACUAGACUGAAUUAAACCUCUUGAAAAACUGAAUAACUAAGUAAGGAAUUAAAGCAAGCAUUAAUUAUACAGGGAUGAGAUUUUUUUUCUUUUUUUCUGAAGUUGUUAACUGCAAUUACAUACAGUGAUGAGUUGAUUUGGACUUACUUUAAAAGAAAAGAACAAUUACAAUUACAGAAGCUGUAAAUGAUUCCUGCUGCUAAAAAGUCGCAAAACCUAUACCUACAAGUCUUAAAACAAGUUCCAUACUGUUUCACGGCAGAUUGCAAAAUUUCCCACUAAAAUUGCAUCACCCAAACAACAAUAUACCACCACGAGUGUAACACUAUAACAUGUACACAAUUUUCUUUUACUGUUCCCACCCCAAGAUGCUAAAGCAACAUGAAACUCUAGGGGCAGCCAAAGAUCAAAGGCCCCCUAAACCAAACUGGCAGUCACCAUAAAGCUAAUAAGGAUGUAACCAUAUGGAACACCUGACAACCAGGUAUGGCCAACCGACCCAUUGUUAGCCCUAAUAGAGAUCUGCAGAAUCAAUCGUCCUGACAAAGUAUCCUCUCUCUCUCUCUCUCUCUCUCUCACACACACACACACACACACACACAUUCAUGUUCCCUAAGUCUAACCAUCAAAACUAAUUGGUUUUACACUCUUUCAGCCCCCUAAGAAACUAAUAUGUCUUACAUGGCAUGUGGCAGAAAUGUCUGUGGGUUUUCAGCGAUUAUAUCAUGCACCUUUCUCUCUCCUCAUGUACCACUUGAGGCUAAUAAGAUGGCCAACUCACUUGGUAAGGUAUGAGGAGGAUUGGACUUGAGGUACCAGUUUUAAACUUCUAAGAUGUUAACUCAAUGUAGUUAACCAGAGUCAAAACAUAGGUCAGACCAAACCCAUCCAAAUACGGGUAUAAUGUUCUCCAAGAUAUUAUUAACAUCCAAGUUCAAUUUUAUGAAUAGACGCAAAAUUUAAGAAUGCAUAAAUUAAAAAGACGGGCUAAAAAAUCUCAAAUCUGAAAUAAAUUCGUGACUAGAAAAGUUGAUGGAAUUGGAGUCCUAUUGUGCAUCAUUACAAACAAUGCCGCAUCAUGAUAACAAAUAAAAAUGGAAUGAAAUAAUUUUCAACAAUGAUCUUUGAACAAGAUCUAUUUAGCACAAUGGAAUAACAAAUUGAUAACAAGGAUUCGCUAGCUUCCAUUAAAACUUAAUCACGUCAAGCAUUGUUCAAAAAACUGCCAAGCGCCUAAGCGAUCCAGAAGACUUGGGCGCAUCGCCCAAGCCUAAGUGGCCAAACUAGGAGGCAGUCCCUGGGCGGCCGCCCAGGGCUGGGAAUAACAAAUUAAUAACAAGGAUUCACUAGCUUCCAUUAAAACUGCAUCACAUCAAGCAUUGUUCAAAAAAGCAGAUCGCCCUACGCCUAAGCGGUUCAUAUGCACCCAGGCCUAAGCGACCAAACUAGGCGGCAGUCCCUGAGCGACCGCCCAUCACCCAGCCUUGGGCGGCCACCCAAGGCCUGUGCCCCACCUAGGGGCGGAAAUGAGUUUUUUUUAUUCUAUUGAGUAUUUCAAAUAAAAAUAAAAGCUUUUAUAAGGUGGGUUUUAGGUUCAUUUGAAACCUAAACCCACAAGAACCCAUUUUAGAUAGAAAGAAACCUCAAAAAAACUAGAUUUUGUGAUUUUUAUUGGAUCGAAGUGCUUCUCAAUGUUAUGGAAAAUGGAUCCAAACAUCACCCAGGUAGAUUAGAUUUAGUUUUAGAGUUUUUGAAUCCUAUUAGACGGUGUUUUUGAAUAUUUUAGCACCAAAAAACAUCUCCAAGGUGGGAGUUUGGAGUUCAAUCAAUCAAAGUAAGUGCAAAACUUUAUUUUUUAGCUUCUUUGUUUUAUUUUGACAUGUUUUCUUCAGAAUCUAAUCGAAGUGGAGAUCUGGAUAGAAAAUAUUGAUAUAACCUGAAUCCGAAUGACAAAAAUUGCAUCAGAUGCAAUUAUUGUGAAAAAAAUACAAAAAGGGACAUAAACCGAUUUAAGAAACAUCUUGACGGUAUUAAGGGGGAUGUUGCCCUUUGUAAAAACGUUCCUGAAGCAAUCAGAGAGGAGAUUAAGCAAUAUUUGAGUUCUGUAAAACAAAAACAGGAACAAAAUCCGCAUCAUUUGAAUAGAUCUAUUUUGGCUCCUCUAGAAAAGUGAUCCGGGUUGGAAGCAUGGUCAUAACCCAAAAACAAAUGAUACAAAUUCUAUAGGAUGUAAUUUUUGUGAAAAAGAUACCAAUGGGGGUAUUAACCGAUUCAAGAAACAUCUGGCCGGUAUUAAAGGGAAUGUUGCUUCUCCAAGUUCUUCUAUAUGAGCCUAGUCCAAUGGAGGUAUUAACUGAUUAGGCAAUUUUUGAAUUUAGAAGAACCAGAAAAAAAUGAAAAUGAGCCUACUUUAAUGGAAAUAUUUUCUCCAAGUUCUUCUAAAAGUGGUGAUCCAAGUUAGAAGAAUGGUUAUAGCCCGUAUUCGAAUGACAAAAAUCGUAUUAAAUGUGAUUAUUGUGGAAAUGAUACUAAUGGGGGUAUUUACCGGUUCAAAAAACACCUUGUCGGUAUUAAGGGGGAUGUUGCCCCAUGUAAAAAUGUUCCUGAGGCUACCAGGGAGGAGAUUAUACAAUCCUUAAGUUCAAGGAACACAAAAAGAUAGAAAAGGGUAGAGCAGCCAAGACUCCUAGGGCCUCAUCUGCACAUAGUAAGAGGGAGGUAGAAGAAGAGGAGGAAGAUGCAAAUUCAGAAAAAACAGAGGAGGACGAGCGUUAUAUUGAAGAGGUAGAUGACUCUGAUGAUGGCCUCGAAUCUGAUUCAUAUGUUGAGGCUUACCUUAUUUCCUUCUAAUGAUGAUGACUGAAGAAUGAAGAGUUGAAGAUGCUUGAGUGCUUGACUCUUGGUGUUGAGUGUUGACUGUUGUGUCCUAGACUGUAUAUUUUUCUGAAUUUUUGUACUUUUUUUUUUUUCUUAUUUUUAGUUUCUACUUUCUAGCUUCUACUAUCUAACUUUUGUGUGUAUCAGACUAGCAGUGUAUGCUUGUAUGGUUUAACUGUUUUAGCAUCGUUUUUUUUGGGCCGCCCAGGUUCUGGGCACCCACCUUGGCACUCGGCGGCCUAAACCCCCACGACCGCCUGGGUGCCGCCUAACGCUUUUUGAAACACUGACAUCAAGAGAUCCCACCAUGUCUUGUUUCAGAUGGAUCUCAAAAUCAUGGGAGUCUAAUCUGAAUGUGGAACCUCGGGCACAGCUGAAUUGUAAGUCAAUAACACAAAGGGGUAUCAAUUACUCACUGAUAGCGUAAUUUUACAUUGAAUUUAAAUAGAAAAACAAACAAUUACAACUACGAAAGCGGUUUAUCCGUAUAUUCAGUUUCAAAUGGUAAUUUAUAUGUGAAAAUAUUCACACUACUGCCCUCUGCAUCUGCACGUUUUAAGAAAAUGCCUUCUUUCUUUUGGACUCCCUAACACUAAUUGAGUGAAAUUUUCCAAAUUUCUUGAAAAUAAUGCCAUCAUCCAAUCAACUAACUUCCCUUCACAUCAGAAAAUAACAAAAUGCAAAAGUAAUUCUGCAAAUGGCACCUAAAACCAACAAAUCUAAAUCCCAUUCAAUGCAUCCCAUGCCCUCCCAAAAUCAAUCUCAAUAAACCAACAAAAUAUACAGGCAUCACAAGAAUCACACAUUUCACCCAAUACAAUCCUUAUGUUAACCCUUAUAAACGUUCAUAACACAUAAAUACACAAUCCUAAAUCAAAACCCCAAAAACCAACCCUAGAAAACUCUAAAUGAAAGCUCGAAAAACCCAUGAAGAAUUGUAAUUCGUGUAUUGAUAAAUCAACAUCCAAGAAAGAACCCUAGGACAGAUCAGUGGGCGCAUAGAAAGACAAAACACAGUAAACAUCAAGAGCGCAUCGAAACCCUAAUCAAGCGGGCAACGAGAGAACAACGAAGGAGAAAGAGACAUCGAAACAGAUCUGACAUGGCCAUGGAAGAACGCAAAGCGAUUGGUUUAUACAACUGACCUGUUUAUUGAGAGACGAUGAUCUUUCUAGGGUUUCCUCAAUGGAGAUCCUAAACGAAGGGCUUUAAUUUGCAAAAAGAUUAAAAAUCGUUGAACGAGUACCACAUAUAUAUGCCCUAUUCUCUCUCCUUUCCUUAUAUAUAAUGUGCCCCGCUUCUCUCUCUAUCUAUUUAUCUAUCUAUGAACUUCUCUCUCUACAUGCCUCACUUUCCUCUCCCUAUUCUUUCUCUCUUCUUUGCUCUAUCUUCUUUCUCUCUAUGCAUGACUUUGGGCUUUUCAAAAUCAGAUUUAAGAGGAAUUUGAGGUCCGAUUAUUUAAAGGAUGCGAUUAGUAUGCGGCCAAGCACACACAUGUAGAAAUGUGGGCUUGACAGUAAUAUAUUUUUUAAAUAUAAUUUGAUUCUAAUUUUAGAGAAUAUAUAAUCUUUAACAUGGAGAUCAUGAAUAUGAAAAGAAAAAAGAAAUGAAAACUAGAAAUAAUAAUUAUAGUAAGAAAAUCAUUUGGAACGUUAGUUACAAUUGUUUUUAAAUGGACCACCUGUUUGCAUCCAUUUUUUAAGAUGGAUGCUUUAUACCUCUGGACCACAUAUUAUAGAAAUGUGGUCCAGCUCGCAUGAAACAAUUGUUCUUAUUUAAAUAUGGAAAAAGUUUAUAUAGAGCCAAGGCUCUAAACAAUCAAAUUAGAGCCCACGUCAAAAAUUUCACUAGAAGAUGUUGUUUUGAUGCCCAAAUAUCCUCAAAUUGAUCAUCUCGACAUCAAGAUGCAUAGACAUGAGAAAAAAAUGGAUUUCAAAUUUUGAAAAUAGUGCAUCUUGCAACGCAUUUUUGGACCGUCAAUUUUCAAGAUUUUCAAGUUUUCAUAGAGCUGCUCGAUCAACACUGAUUUUAAAGCUUUAAAACAUGAAAAUAUAUUUUAAGGCUAUCACAAUGGUUUCCAGUAUUAAAACCACAUUUCUCAAUCCUAUUUGAAGGUGCGCUUUACUUUGAUUGUUUAGAGCCUCGGCUCUAUACAAAUCGCACCCUUUAAAUAUACGGAUUGUCUACAAAGAGACCAUUUACCUUUUGUACAAUGAAGUCACAAUCAAUCUAACAGGGUCAUCCCCAUGAACCACAGUCCAACAAGGUCAUCCCCAUAAAUGGUCAUAAAGAGACAUUAAGACCUAACAACAUGAUCACAUCCCACUCUGGUGGCUCCUAGACUCUGUCCACAGUCACCUAUUUGUAAUUGAAUGGUGAAGACCUUAACUGAUUCACGUUUUUAGAGACCACAAUCACAAUAUACAUUUUCUUAUCCAUAAUCUCCCCUAUGGUGUUACUGGCACCCCAAGGAAUUGGGGCACACUAUCUGUGCUCCAAUAUAGGACGAGGCUCAACACCCAUACAAUAUGGUUGUGCAUCACAUAAAAAAAGAAAAGUUUGAAUGGAAUUGCAACGAUCAAUGUAAUGAAACCUAUGACAUUCUCACAAAACAAAAAAAACCAAACCUAUGACACCAAAUUGUGCCAGGAGGAAAGAAAAAUUAUGAAAGGAAAUGGAUGCACAAUAAGCAUUCUUAAGACUUAACCGAGCCGCUUUCAAUAAGAUAGCCAUUACCUCUCUAAUUCCAACCCUUCCUUCCCAACUCUGCAAUAAAUUUUUCUAUAAUAAUAAACACUAAAUGGCAACAUUAAAGGAGACCAAUCUUAUGGGGACAUGUAUAAAAUUUACAAAGUUAAGACUAAUGGCCUAGAAAUUGACCACCUUGAUCCCUUUGAGAUACAAACCAUCCAUAAGAUACAAGCACAUUCCAUUAAAAUCUUGCUUAAGAGAUAACAAGUUUAAACAAUAUCCAAAGUCAAACCUAGGGGAGAUACAGACUAUAGGGAAAGUUUUUCCACCAAGAAAUUAUAUUUCCUUUUGUAAUUGUGUGUGCAUCCAUAAAAGGUGAAGAAUGCUCCAAAAUAGUUUACAAAAAUUGGCUCCGUCAAACGUAGUCCUAGGCGGCUAUCUGUGUCAUGAGGAUACCAUUCCUCUAAACGCUUUCUCAUGCAAGUAAACGAGCCAUUGACCUCGGUUUUCUAUGAACAUGUUUAUAAACAAUAAUUUGCAAAAUAUAAAUUGACCAAAAUACGCCCGAAAAGUUUUGGAUGUAUUUUGGCUAAUUUAUUUUUUGCGAAUUAUUUUUUUGAUAUUUUUAUUAGAUUCUCUUAGUUUUGGAGAAAAGAUGCUUAAAAUUUCAAGUGAUUUGAAUUUAUAGAAAAAAAUUCAAAUAAAUGCAAUUGUAACCAUCGAAUCGACCCAUAUUAAAUCUAGGCCAUUGGACUGAGACUGUGGCAUUAACCAGUGGGCUAAACUCAUUUUUUCCUAUCUAUAUAUUCAAAUAAAUGCAAUUGUGACCAUCGAAUAGGCUCAUAUUAUAUCUGGGCUGUUGGGCUAACACUGUGGUGUUAGGUAGUGGGCUAAACUCAUUUUUUCCCAGAUAUAUGUAUAUAUAUCUAUAUAUAGGUUCAAAUAUGUCAUGAGAUAAUGGGCAUGAAAUUCCAAAUCCUUUAAAAUUAACAUAGCUCACAAGUCAGAUAUGGAAAUUUGAACCAAGCUAUCCAAACAGCAAGAAAUUUGCCAGAAUUUAGUCAACUUUGAACACUUCCAAAUGUAGCUUCCAAUUUAUAAAAAUAUAUAAUUUCAUAAUGCCUAAACCAUAAACAAGGGAUUAUCAGCCAAUAAUCCAAGAGUAGAACAAGUUGGUGGAAUCACAUUCCUAUUGUGAAUAAGUUAAUGAGUCAUAAUGCAACAGAAAAUUUAAAAAUAAUUAAGUCAUUGAGUUUUAAAUAAGGGGCACGACAACAAUAUUCCUUAAUUUGGUUUCCAAGCACGUUGUAGCAAAUUUACAGUAAUAAAAACAAAAACAAAAUUUACAUGCUUGUAUUUAGAAGUGAAUCAAAUCAUCUAAUUCCAAUGUUUAUUGCCUCAGAUAUAACUGGACGACUAGCCCAAAUGAAACCUCUUGAAAAACUGAAUAACAAAUAAGGAAUUAAAGAAAGCAUUAAUUACACAGUGAUGAGUUGAUUUGGACUUAAUUUAAAAGGAAACCACAAAUUACAAUUACAGAAGCCGUAAAUGAUUUCUGUUGUUAAAAGGUCGUGAGCCCUAUGCCCACAAAUCUUAAAACAAGUUCUAUACUUUUUUUUACUGGGAUUGCAAAAUUUUCCACUAAAAUUGUACCACGCAAACAAUAUACCACCACAAGUAAAAUAACAAUAUAACAUGUACAAAAUUUUCUUUUAAUGAUCCCACUCCAAGAUGAUAAGCACCAUGAAACUCCGCAGUAUGGGCAGCCAAAGAACAAAAGCCCCAGCACCAAACCAACAGCCACCAUAAAGCUAAUAACGAUGCAACCAUAUGGAGCACCUGCCAACCAGGUUUGGCCAACAGGCCCAUUUUCAAGCCUGAUCGAGUUCCACAGCUUCAAUUGGCUCUCUCUCUCAUGUUCCCUAUGUCUAACCAUCAAAACUAAUAGGUUUUACACAUUCUCAGUCCCCUGAGAAACUAAAGAUUUACAUGGCACGUAAUGGAUAUGUCUGAGGAGGGUUUUCAGUGAUUAUAUCAUGCACCUUUCUCUCUCCUCAUGUACCACUUGAGGCUAACAAGAUGGCAAACUCACUUCAUAAGGUAUGAGGAGGAUUGGACUUGAUGGAUACUUCAGUUUUUUUUUGAGAGAGAGAUGGAUACUUCAGUUUUAAACUUCUAAGAUGUUAACUCAACGUAAUCCAGUUUUUUAUUUCUAUUACUUGGGCUUACAUUAAGCCCAACUAAAGAUAUCUAGAAAAUGGAUGCCAAGAGUUAACAGAAGUUGAAGCAGUCAGCAUGAGGCGAGGGAAUCACCUGAACUCAUAUUAUUCAUCUUUAGAACGCAGAUAUGGACAUAAAUGUCUCUUAAGAGUGCUUCCAGAGAAAUCGAAGACUAACACAAAGCCAACAUAUUACCAACAUCUUUACUCUUUAGUUAACAACCAAAUAAGAAACAAUAUUAUCAAUAAAUCAAGUAUAUUAUAAUUCAAUGGAAUAAGGAAAUCACAGUCCAUUAAGGGCUGCUGUCCAAUGAAUUGAUGGAAACAAGAAGACAGAGUGACAGACAAGCACUGUCAGGUAUCUCCCAAUCAACUCCCCUUCACAUAAUAUAAUAACAUCAUGCAAAAGUAUUACUGUAAAUGGCACCUAAAACAACAAAACUGGACCCAACUCAAUGUAUCCCACAUCCUACCAAAAUGAAUAUCAAUAAACCAACAAAAACAAAUUUAUACAGUCCUUCUUAUAACCCUAAUUAACGUUAAUAAUCCCAUAAAUAUGCAAUCCUAAAUCCAAACCCCAAAUAAUGACCCUAGAAAGGGCUAAAUGAAAUCCCAAGAAACCCCAGAAGAAUUGUUCUCCUUCCAUUGAAAAAUAAACAUCCAAGAAAAAACCCCUAGGACGGAUCAGUGGCCGCAUAGAAAGACAAAACACAGUAACACCAAGAGGGAACCUUAAUCAAAAGGGCAACGAGAGAAGUACGAAGGAAUUUGGUGGGAAAAAAAUACUGUCAGAUGAUAGAGAUAGUGAGAAACAUAAAACUCAAGUCCUAGAAAGAACGUUCUUUUUCAGAGAAGAAAAACCCUAGAAAGAAAAUCCGAGAGCAUAGAGGACCCAUAAGGACUGCAUGGAUUGCACAUGAUAAACCUUAGAAAUCAGUCAAAAGAGCAAUAAAGGGUAGUAACAUUUUAGAAAAUAUCAGAUACAACAAUGGAAAAAGCAAUUAUAGUUUACAGAAAUGAAAUUGGCGAUUGGAGAGCUGACCUAGGAAAACAAGAUUUCUAGUAUUAGGGCUUUCUCGAUCACAAGCGCAAAAAAGCAGGUCACCUCGAUCUUAGAGAGAUGAGCACGCAGUGCAGAAGUGGCCUUAUAUCUCUUUUCUCGGUCUAGGGUUCCUGAAAUUUUCUCAUCAAGAUGGUGCUUUACCCUUGAAAAGGAUCGCAAUUUACAUUUAUGCCCCCAAAUAGAAGAUAAUUACGAUUUCGUACUCCUACCGGGCCCCGCUGGAGAGGGGUGGCAAUCCGGUUGGGAACCCGCUCACCCGGCAGGUCAAACCGAAAAAGGGCUAGGUCUGUGUCCGGGUCAGGGUCCAGGUCGUGGUCGAACGGACCCAUCCCAACCCAGUAUAGAAUAUUUUAAAAAUAUAUAAAAUAUAAACUAUACUGUGUAUAAAUUAUAUAUUUAAAAAUAGGUGCAGUUUGCAUAAGGAUGCAUUCGUAGGUAUAGAGGUAAGCUACACCUUUAAAUUUUAUCAUGGUAUAUAAUUUUGAUGUAAAACAUUCUUAGGAUUAUCUCAAAAUCUAUUUUUAUAUCUAAUUAUAAAAUUUUAAAUUUUAAAAAUGGUUAAAAUCAAGUAGAUCUAUAAACAUAUUGAAAUCUUGAAAAUGGACGGUAUAGAUAAUAUGUUGUAAAAUGCACUAUUUCUAAGACUUAAAAUCUUUUGAUUUUUCAUAAUCAUACAUCUCGAUGUCGAGAUGAUCAAUCAAAGGGUUUUUCAACAUUAAAACUACCUUUUCCGAUGGAUUUUUUAAGGGCAUCCGUAGCUCUAUAUUAUAAAGUUGCAUCUUUAUAUAAAUUUUUUUGUUUAAAAAUUUCAAGACUCAAGUCUACGUUAGCCAUUCGAGUCUGGGCCCAGGUAAAAAUUAGCCAGGUCAGACCCCUACCCAACCCGGCCUGUUGGAAUUAGGGAUCGGCAACCUUGGUUCCCUUUUUUCUUUAUUUCACUCACAUUUCUUCACCAAUUCUUUGAGCCCUCAUUGAGAUCUAUAUAACUUUUUUUUUUUUUGAUAAAAAACCAAGUAGAAGAGUAUGAGGGAAAAAAGUUAUUCAAAAAAAUUUUACUCGAUUUAUGUUUUCCAAUAAAUACUCAAAUUUUAUAAAAAAUAAUUAUGUAUUUUUAUAGAUAUCAUGCUAGAUGUAGUUGAGACUUUGGUAUGCAGAGUGUUAGUCACGAAUUAGAAUGAUUUUUUGAUAAUUUUAUUGUUGAUUUCUAUAGGUUUCAAUUUUAAUGUGAUUUUUAUAUUUUUUGACACUGUAGAUUGAUUUUUUUGAUAAUUUCAUUGUUGAUCUCAAUAGAUUUCAAUUUUAAUGUAAUUUUUAUAUUUUUUGAUACUGUUUUUCUCAAAUUCUUGAAAAUAGUGCCUAAUAUGUUUGAUUUAUAGCAUUAACGCUAUAUUUUCAUCUUGUUAUUUUCCGAGCUUUUCAAAAUCCUUACACAAUUUAUAAACAAUUUUAAAGUAAAACCAAUAAAUAAAAUAAAGUAAAAUAAAAUAUGUGUGAGGUGGUUCCUUCAGUGGUUACUGCGGUGAACAAGCUCAUAGCAAGUUUAGGGCAAGCUCUUUUCUUCAAGGGGCCUACCGUGUUCAAAACCACAACUCGGGCCAAGUACUGUGGCAGCGAAAAAGUAUUAUUUUUUAAAUAUAAAAAACAGAAAAUAUAGAAAAUAUAUAUUUAAAAUAAGAUUAAACGCACAACACAUGUAGAUGAGAUUAAAAAAAAGUAGUUAUCAAAUAGAUUUUGAAAAAGAUAGAAAAAUAUAAAAAUAAAUAUUCAUGGCCAAAACACUUUCUAAUAUUCGACAAAAUAUAAAAAAAUUAUAAAAAUAAAAUAAAAUAGCACAUCACAGUAAUUUUCCAUUUUUUUAGUUUUUGUUUUCAUAAUUUUUUGAAUUUUUUAAUAUCCUCGAGUGGGACACCCAACUCGAGGACCUCAUGCUGCCUAGGAGGCGAGCCCGAGAAUUCGAAACUCGAAUCGAGUAGUUGAACACGCCCAUUUAUUUAUUUUAUUUUAUUUUUUGAUAAAAUUUAACUUCAUAUAUUUUAAUAUCAUUAUUGUGGAAAGCUCUCUAUACUUCCCCUACUGAAUAGAAGUUAUACGUUUCCCCACAUCUAGCCGUCCAAUUUAGAUCAAGUGAACCAUUAAUCAUUUGAUCUAGAUUUGAUGAUUCUGAGGAUAUUUUUAAAUUUUUUUACAAAUAAUAUGAGUACACAAUUUAGUACAUACUGCCAUCUCUGCACCUAAAAAAAUUAAAGUUAUUUUAAAAAAUAAAUAAAAUAACCAAAAUACCCUUCGAAAUUCUAGGGGUAGUUUAAUCAUUUUAUAUUAUCAGUAAUAGUUUUUAUAGUUUUUACAUGUGCGGGUUCAUGAGAGGAUUAUAUUUUUUAUAGGUGUAGGUUCAUGAGAGGAGUAGACUCUCAAAGUUUGGUCACAAAGUAUUUUCAAAAUACUUUGUAGAAAUAAAAAUAAAAAUAAAACAUUGUAGCGGAGGUGAUUAAGUAGUAUGGGAGAAGGAGAGUGAUGGGGUUUUUAAAAUAAAAUAUGCUUAUAGGCUUUUGUUUCAUGAUUGUUUUAGGUGCGCAGAAAGGAGUUUAAACAAAAUCUGAAAAUGGUCUCCUAUGUAUAAGGUUAAAGUUUUUCUUUGGAUUCUUUUGUAAAGGAGAAGUUUUAUGGUGGACAAUCCGAGGGAAAGGGGAAAAAUUAUGGUUAACAUUUCCUUGUUAUGCAAAAAUCAUUAUGAGAAUGGGGAUUAUUUAUUUUUACAUUGUCAAUUUACAUGUCGACUAUCGAGGUGGGAUUUUCAAAUCGUUGGUUGUCUUUUGAUUUUACCAUAAAAACAUCUAAACAUUUUGUUUCAAGACUAUCAAAAAGGAGAAUUCUAUAGAAUAUUAUGAGAUCGGCAUGGGAAGUAUGGUUAGAAAGGAAUAGAAGAACUUUUAAAAAGAGAGCAUUAAUUUUGAAACAAGUUCAAAACAUGAUUUUACGUAUAGUUUUGUCAUGGUUUUCAAUCACUAGGGAGGGGGACAGAGUAUCUAAGGUUGAUGUAGUCCUCAACUUGAAAAACAUCAUGUGGAAGUCCCCUCCCAUUUCUACACCAAAGGGCAGAAGGAGUUGACAAAUACACAAUGUUAAGCUUAAUUUUGAUGGUAGUUCACUAGGGAACUCUAGCCUAACGAGGAUUACAGGAGUUAUUAGGAAUUCUAUUAGUGUUAAGCCAAACGAGGAUUAGGGUAGUUAUUAGAAAUUCUAUUAGUGUUAUUUUGGUCAGUGUGGUAUUUCUACGGCAAAUAUGGCUAAAUUAAGUGCUUUACUUUUGGGCUUAAGGUUGUAAUAGUUACAUGUGCAGGUUUGUUCAUAUGUAAUUGUAAUGUUUCCUUGAUUCAUUAAUAAAAGUUUAUGACCUUGUCAAAAAAAAAAAAAAUUAUCAGUCAUUUCUCUAGCCUUUGUGCUUCAAAUUGCAUUCCUUUGUGCUUCAAAUUGCAUUUUGAUGACUGCUGAUUAUCUAUGAAGGGCAUUUCUUGGUUUGUUAUAAUUUUAUUGUCUUAGGCAUCAAAUCUCAGUCUCAAGCGUAGGAUUGAAUAUAAUGACAAAUUUUAUACUAACUAAUGUUUCUUGUUAUUCAUUAGUUAUUAGGGUGUUUUUUUUUGACAAAUUAGUUAUUAGGGUGUUUUAGAGUUUUAAAUUGUUUAGAUUAGACUUAGAGUUCAUAUUCUAAACAAUAGAUUGUGUCAAUCUCAAGAAGUAUAUAAAGUUUUAUUGAAAUCGUAAUAGAACUUUCAAGUUCUAGAGCUAUAAAACUCGAUUAGUGGUUGUUGUGCUCACCCUCGUUUGUUUUUUUUAUUCGUCUUCUCUGAAUGCAUCAAACAUGACAAACUCUCAGGAACCGGACUAAUAUGGUCAGGCAAAUCCAAAACUUAAUCCUAAGAAUGAACAGGGGUGGCAAUGGAUAUAUUUAAAUACAUACAUAUUUAAUUUUUAGGUUAGGUCCAGUCGGGUUUGGGUUUGGGUCUGGGUUUGAAUUCGGGUCUCACAUUAUAAUUUCGGGUAAGGUCGGGUCCAAGUCCCAUAAUAGUUUUAGGGUCUGGGUCUAGCUCCAGCCGAACCCGACUUGUUGCCACCACUAAGAAUGAAUUCAACUCACUCUCUCUCAAGAAAACUUGGAACCUCACUUGGUUCUUCUACAACUCCGCCCCAGUAAUAGAAGAAUUGAAAAACCUUGGGAUGCGUUUCUUUGUUUCGCAACUUCCGGAAGCCGCACCUUCCAAUGGGAUUAAAACGAUUUUACAAGCCUGCUAUUUCCAAGGUAACCCAUGGAAAUGAGACUAAAACGUUUUUACAAGCCUGCUAUUUCCAAGGUAACCCAUGGAAAUGGCAGCUUCUGAACUUUGUAGAAGAGGGCAUCUUCUACAAAAACAAACACCCCCUAGACAAAGAGGGAGAAGGCAUGGCCAACUAAACUCAAUCAAUGCCCUCAUAAAUGCAUCAGCCCAUUCCGAACUCACUCUUUAACACCUCAUGUCUAACUCAGCACUAAACCACUUGUCUUAACACUCUUAAGAACAUCUAUUUCACCUCUUUUGUUUUCCUUUUUUUUUUUUCUGACACGGUUAAAAACUUUUAUUGAUAGAAUGCUGAUAAAGCAUGAAAUUACACAUUUGGGAUCAAGACAUUAAAAAUAGACAGAGGAUAAGGAGAUUCCAUGUUUGGCUAAUCGAUCAACUACAUCAUUGACCUCUCGAAAUACAAGGAAAUCUUGAUAGACAUCUCUUUCACACCUCUCAAACUCUGAAACAAUUUAUCCAACUUAAACACAAUCCAUAAAUAUAAACAAUUUAUCCAACUUGAGCACAAUCCAUAAAUAUGGGUUUUGUUCAUAAAGAGGAAAGGAGUGAGGGUCUGCUUGAUAUCGCAGAUAAACUUGGGGGUUCCUUGAGAUUGGGUCGAUGUUUUGAGGGAGAGAUGUUAACCUUCUAAACAACACUACGCAAUGUUUCAAUGGAAAAUGUUUUGAUAGGGCAGUAGCCCUAUUUCAAAUGAAACCCCACAUCAAGACCAGCUAAAAAUUGUAGCUCUGACAUCAAAAAAGCUUCAAAUCUAUCAUCUCAGCCUUGACCAUUAUGGUCAUGAAAAAAAAAUUGAACUUCAAGCCCUAAAAAUAAUUUAUACUGUAACACCAUAUCUAAACCAUCCAUUUCACUCUAAAAAUAAAUAUUCUUAAAUCCACAAGAUUUGUACCAUCUUUUUAGUUUCAAAUUUCAUAAUUGGUAUUAAAAAUUUGUACCAUUUUUUUAGUUAGUAUUGGAAAUAAAUAUUAGAGCCAUCAUGAAAAUUUCUAAUGCCCAAAGUGCUUUCCCGAUGAGGAUUUGAGACAAGCCUUUGUUUUUAUAGAGCCUAAGCCUCAUAGAAAUUGCAUCAAUGCUUGAUACAUACCUAAUGUUACAUGCUUAAGUCCUUUCUCUAAGUAGCCCUUGUAAAAAGUGCUUUCCCGAUGAGGAUUUGAAAUGAGCCUUUGUUUUCAACAGGGUCUAUCCUUUAUACUCAUAAGUAGAGACGUGUCAUCAUAAGAUGCAUAUUCCAAUAUAAAUAUAAAAAUAUAAAUAUAAAAAAAUAUACCAUCCGUGAAACUUUAGUAUCUUCUUUUAUUUUUUAUCUAAUAAACAAUUUGCUUGAAGUGGAUAAUACCUGAAAUAAUUUUGAAAUAAGUUUAGAAUAUGCUUCCAUCCACGGCGAACACUUGGGCUUUUAAAUGUUCUCCCAGUUUUGUUGGACGGCUAGCUUCUUUUUUUAUGUACUUUUUCUUGAUGGGUUUGAACAGACAAAAUCUGUGUUUUAGUGGGACUCAUCCCACAUGUUGAGAAUAAUUGGACAUCAGGUCAAAUAGAUGUGAUUUUAAGAUGCGUUUUUGUAUUUAAUACAUACCUAAUGUUACAUGCUUAACUCAUUUCUAUAAAGUGCCCUUGUAUUAGAUAGAAUGGCGAAAAUAUAAACAAAAAAUACUACAUUUCACAGAUGGUACAUCCCUUUACAUUUACAUUGGAAUAUACAUCUCAAGUUGAGACACCCCUAUUCAUGAGUAAUAAAAAUAAACCCCAAUAGAAUUCAGAGCUCAAAAGGUCCCAUAUCAAAAUCCAGAGCAAAGUCGAUUUGGACAAAUCGAAUAAGGGGAAUCUUGAACUCAAAUUGACAUUGAUCUAAGAUUGCAUCAAAUAUGAUACAAGAAAGUUUUAGGUCACACUAUCCCCCUGGCAAUAUAUUUCUUUUUUCUUUGGCCUCAGAAACAAAUUAUGCGUAAGUAACAAGGUUUCGUUUUAAAUCUUUCCAUAACUGCCCAUGUCAAGGCUGAAACACAGAAGGAAAAGGAUACAAGUACCAUGUACAAUCAAAAGUAAGCUAUGGAAAGCCUGUAGAGUAUAUACCACACACACAGGGCCAUCGACUGUUAGAGAUGAACUGCUGUUUGAAUACCACCCAGGCGAGGAACCGUACUCAUCUUGAUGUCAAUUAAUGGCCCUUUCUGUAUGGCAUACCAUGAAUACUAUAUGUAUAGGAUACUUUCCCCUCAAAAAACUACCCUGAUCAUUUAGUAACAAAGAUAUUAAGUCUAGUUCCUGGUCACAUAGUGACAAACCUGACGUUUUUUCUACUUUUUCCCUUGCUUUUUUCCUGUUGGGUGCGCGCAAUCAAUUAAUGCACACAAAUUUAAUCGAAGGAUAAAGGAAGUAAAGAAAAUAAGCAAAUGAAAAGCAUGGAGUUUGAUUUGAUGCAAGACAUACACAUGAGACAGUGGGACUCCAUUGGAGCACCUAUCAAGGGUCUGCAUGCCCAGCUACUUCUUCCUCUUCGCUCGACUCCCCAUCGUCACCUUCGCUUAUUUCCUCAUCACUGCUCUCCUCAGCAGCAUUGGAGAUGUUCUCUCUCUUAGCAUAACGUUCGCAAUACUCUGAUAAUUUCCACCAAAAAGAACAGUAAGACACGAAAAUUGUUCUUCUAUGUCCCAAAAGGACAUAUGCAACAUGAAUUCCAUUCCCCUUGUUCCAAAUCGAGACAAAGGGAGGGGCGCCAGUCUCUAGCACUUCACACCUCUAAUAUUUCCGUAUGGAAAAAGUGGGCGAUCAUCCUCCAGUUUUAAUACAUUUAUCCAGAUUUUGUUUAAUUAUGGACAAUGGAAAUGACUGACACAUCUAAUUUUCUAUCAUUAACAUGCAACAUGAGCGACAUCUCCCUUCUAUCAACCUAUGGGAUUGAAGAGGCCAGAUAACUAAUUUUCAUAAACCUCAGAAGUUUCUUGCUAUUAUAUAAUAUUCUAAAAGGAAAAAUGUCUUUUGAUAGUAUUUGAAACACCUACCAUGCAACAUAAGAGAGAUCAAAGAUCGAUCAACCCAUGGACAUUACUAUCUAGCAUUUUCAUGUCUCGUGAGAUUUCCAACAAGUACUAGAAAUUGGAAAUGGCUCUACCUUUUUCAGAGUUCAACUUUAAAACUCUUAGCAUGAAACAUAAGAGAGAUUGCUUACCAUCCAUCAACACAAGGAAAUGGAGAGAACACACCACUCUAUAGUUUGUCCACAUAAUUCUUGAUGUAGUGAGGAAACUAGAAAUGGUCGUCUUUCAAUGUGUUGACCGAAGUGUUUAUCAUUAUGCAAAAUAUCCCUCUUCUGCUAACCCACGGAAAUCGAGGGAGAAGACCACUCUAGAUUUGUUAUACCAUCUAUUUGGUUAUUAUAUGUCUUCUCAAAAGAAAUGAAUAUGCAAAUGAAAUCUUCUUACCUUUCACUUUUUGCUCAUAUUGCUGCCUGUCCCUCAUCAUUAAAGAAGCUGCAUCACCAUUCAAUGGAUCUGUGGGAUUUGGGUACAGUAAUAGCUGUGGCAGGAAUACUUCAAAUACAUUCAGAAGAUCUGUAAACACAUAAUGAACACCAUGAUGAAGAUAUAACUGCUACUAUCUGGGGCUUGUGUGUGCGUGCGUGCGCGCAUGCACGUGAGAGAGAGAGAGAGAGGAAAACACGAUUUUGCGGAAGACAUGUGUCAAUGCAAUGUUCUAAAGUUUACCGAACAUUGGGCUCCAGGUUUGAUUGAUGACGUCCAGGCAUACAGAACCAGAUCUGUAAUCCACAUAAGAAAAGAGUGACUACUAGCAAAAACAGAGAGCCAAUUAUUGGGGCAAAAAGAAAAAAAAAUGUCACUUUGGAAAAGUAACAUCACCAAACAUAAAAUCAGCCAACCACUUCAACUAAUGAAUUUCAGAAGAAUUUGGAAUGUUAACCAUCUUUCCAAAUAAAUAAGUGGACAUCAACUAAAUUAUUGGGUGGAUGGUACAGCCAUACAAAAUACUCUUGGCACUGGUUGUGUGAACUGCCAUUUUCAAAAUAAUAAAGGGAGUUUUGACCAUUUAUAGAAGUGCAUCUGCUUACUUUUGAAAUACAUAGUUUUAUCAGUUUAGUGAAAUAGAAAAGUUCGAUUCUUUUGACAAAAGGUGCUCAUUAUCGGUUAUCAACAGAAAAUAUAGAAAAAUCAAUCAUAAGAAAACAAGAAAGAGGUAUCAUCAUAAAGUUUCCCAUGCAUCCUCCAGAAAGAAUUUAAGUGGAGCUCACAGUUCAUCGACAUUGGGGUGAAAAAUCUUGUUCAGGAAACCAAUGGAUGGAGACUUGUAAGGGUAUGCAUCAGGCAACUCAACUCGAACCUUCCAUACUCCACCUUCAUAAAGGCCUGAAAGAACCAUAAUUCAUGAAUCUAGUGCACAUAGAAUCCAAGUAUUUGAGAGCCUGAAAGAUAUUUCCUCCAAAUUGGAAAAGUUAAGCACACAUCUCUAUGUACGGAAACCUAUAAAAGAUGUCAUCUUUCACUUUGUAAUCUUCUAUCACAUAAUAAGUCCUCAUGCCUUAGAAUAACACAACUACCAGCAAAUACCGUGAGGCUGAGGGAUAGUCAAUAGAAUAUCAUAUAAAACAUGCAUUUUCAAAGAAGGAACAGUGGUUCAAACUUCAAAGCCUCCAUUUCGAAAACUUGUGUGAUAUCUACACUUGAAGUUAGCCCUNNNNNNNNNNNNNNNNNNNNNNNNNNNNNNNNNNNNNNNNNNNNNNNNNNNNNNNNNNNNNNNNNNNNNNNNNNNNNNNNNNNNNNNNNNNNNNNNNNNNNNNNNNNNNNNNNNNNNNNNNNNNNNNNNNNNNNNNNNNNNNNNNNNNNNNNNNNNNNNNNNNNNNNNNNNNNNNUCUACAGCUACAGAUGCAUAUGUAUGCCAACUGCACCCAUUAACUAAACCAACAGAAAACUUAACACAUGGUCACAUUACCACAUGACCAUAUAAGCAUCCACUGCUUAUCUCUUCCCUAAUUAGGUUGAUCAUUUUUUUAGUGGUUCUCUUAUCAGGUCGGUCAUCAUUUUUUUUAUUUGAUAAAUAGGAGUAUUUGAAGUAAAAUUGGAGAUGGAUUGUGAUGUAUGUACUGUGCAUUAACCUUAAAGUUAGUGGUGUGGACUCAAUAACCUUUUGGGCAUGAGUAACCACAAAAAAUCAGAGAAUAAAGGAAAAAGACUAAAUUAUCCUUAUAGGAUAUAGGCAGAUAUAUAUUACAGGAAAAAAACACAUGUAAACUACAAAUUACAACUGUCCAUUCAUUAUAACUAUAACACUGCAUCACUGCCCCUUAAGUUGAUGCUCGAUCAACCGUCUCCUACAACUUCAUCAAUAUAUAGCCAAUCCGCUCUUGCCAAUAGGCUUGGUAAAAAUACAAAGGAUCUGCAUGCUAUUACAAAUACAUCAUUUCCACAGUAUUGUGAUAGGGUUAUGACUGCCCAUCAAUGUGUUGGACAUUGAUUGGCAAAAGUCAACUGUAAACUUGGAAUGAAGACAAGUUUGGUGGGACGCACUUCCCCACAUCACUGUCCAACCAAUUGAAAUGAUUAUGAUCACUCCCUUUGAUACUGUAGAAAUGAUCAUACGAGCCAUACCAUUUCUUCCAAACUACAAAUUGAAACUGUUCCUGCAAUACGACUAUAACCCCUUAUGUUGAUGGAUGAAUAUCAGUGGUGCCCAGAUAUACCCAAAUGUCCCCUUGUCAACAAGCUCAGUAAAGAUGUUUGCUGGCUAAUCUUCCCAUCUUCACUAAAUGACAAGGAAAGAAAAAGAGAAACAAUAGUAAUACUUGCAAUAGGAAGUCAUAAACUUAAGGAGUAAAGAGCUCACGGAAGCUAUAAAGGUCACAUUGUGCCUUGAACUUGGACGGUUAUAGAGAAAGGGUGCCUUACAACAAUGGACCCAUGGAUGCUGGACUAAACUCAUAACCAACUUAAGUCACUCAUAAACAUUUAUAGGAAAUAAAAAUGAGAUGUUAAAAUCAAGGGUAAUAAUUUUAGCCUUUACCAAUUAAUUGGGGUCGGCUUCUUAAUACCAUAAAUCAAGGGUAAUAUUUAUACAUUAUGAAUUAAAAGACUCAAAUUCGUUGAUGAUCAACAGUAUUGUAGAAAUAUUCCUAAGGAAGUGUUUG
Molecule: long non-coding RNA, 60730 nt
Filed under: Amborella trichopoda
Lineage: Eukaryota; Viridiplantae; Streptophyta; Magnoliopsida; Amborellales; Amborellaceae
Description: long non-coding RNA (ATRI_LNC004370)
Source: RNAcentral